RNAcentral lists this long non-coding RNA (51773 nucleotides) under Phaseolus vulgaris (common bean). RNAcentral describes it as "long non-coding RNA (PVUL_LNC005090)". The record is from RNAcentral. Lineage: Eukaryota; Viridiplantae; Streptophyta; Magnoliopsida; Fabales; Fabaceae.
UAUAUGCAGGAACCACAGGAAGAAAAUAAUUAAAAUUGCAGUUACCUUUAUAAUUUCAAGCGUUCUAAUUAACUUUUGUGGCUUCUUCUGUUUAUAGGUCGUAUUUUAGGCCAAAUCUAUGUAAAGUGUUUGGUGUCUUACUUGCAAGACACGAGUCCUAAGGUCCUAAGGGAGCCUAUAACUGUACCUCAAAUAUGAAGAUGGUAGCUAGAGUUUCUUACAAUUAAAAAUCUUGAAAUUUUAACAAAAUGACAAUAGUCCGAAAUUAGUUACCUCUCCAUCAGAUCCUAAUACAAUUGUGUGAUAUUUUGCAGCAGAAACUCUGGCCAAAGUCUUUCCCUUCAAGGAUUCAACCACAUGUGGGGUGUAAUUAGAUGCUGAGUUUGAGGUGCCAUAACCAAGCUGACCCUCCCUGUUACAACCCCAAGUAAAGACUUCACCUAAAUCAGAAACUACAGCCGUGUGUUUAUUUGCUGCAGCAACAGCAACAAUUUUUGACCUCAAAGAAGAUACUCUACGAGGUGUGGGUUGUGUAUCAACAGAAGGGUACCCAAGCUGUCCCUCUACACAACAAUGAAACAAGAAAACACAUGUCAAUUAUGUCUUUCUCAUAUUUCACACUGCAGAACAAAGAAUAAAGAAAGACUAAUUCUUUCUCAGUUACACAGUGUUGAUUUGUAGAAAAUCACAAGUACACUUUAUAAAACAAAAGGAGGGAUGAGGGGAAAAGACCAUUUUGAUGCAGUCCAGUAAAGUAGUUUACUUUACACAGUAACAACACACAAGACUUAACUUAUAUAAGCAUGAAUAUCAUCAAGUUUUACCUCUAUUGGAUCCCCAAGUGAACACUUCCCCGCCCUGAGUAGCAAUAACCGUAUGAUGCUUAGCUGCAGCAAUUGCCAUCACUCUACGGGAACCCAGACCAGAAGUCACUUGGCGGGGAGUGAUGACAGCAGCUUGACCACUGCAAUGAGUAUAACAAUAUAAACUCUGAUUGAAAAUUGUCCAAAAGCAUGAACAGAACAAUGACAUACCCCCUCUCCAUCCCUCAUCCAUAAAAGGUUCAAAAAAGCAUGUAACUAUUUGCAAAAACAAUAGCUAGCAGUAAAACUGGAAUAAGUUCCCAUUUACUUCUGCUGUGAAAUUUCUAAUAUAACAAGUUAGCAAAAUGAAAACAAGGCAGCCUUUUAGUAAUAAUCAAUAAAAACUGGGGAAAAAAGUGAACACAACUUUUUUCAAAUCAAAUGGCCCUCAAAGAACUCAACAUUAUUAAGGAACUUACUCAACCAACUUCUUUUUAUUCAAUGUUCAUAAUCAAUAAAUAGUGACCAAUACACACAAAAAGCAUGUUCGUCUAGAUUCACACUAAAACAAACCACAUACCUGUGUAUAUCAAAAUCAGGAUGCCCUAGACGGCCACCCCUUCCAAAUCCCCAAGUAUACACUUCUCCACGAGCAGUGAGCGCCACACUAUGGAACUUCCCUGCAGAAAUGAGCUUUAUGAAUGAACCACCAAGUGAAUCAACUUUGCAUGGUAACUUCUGAAUAUGCGCAUUUCCAGUUCCAAGCUGAUAAUUUGCACCACUGCCCCAGCUAAAGACCUCAGUUGCCACUAAAUAAAGAUACAAUAAAAUCAGACUGUCAUCCUAUAUGAUCACUUUAAUGGUGACAACAAUCUAAAGCAGUCAAAAAACAACAAUCUAUACCUGAACUUUGUUCAUUUCCAAGAGCCUGAAAUACAGAGCCAGAUAAGAGAUCUACAGGUAUUCGAGAUUUAGAGUCCUCCAAUGUAAUAGAGGCACCAUGCUGAAGAAGGAUGCUUGCUGCAGCAAGAUGACCAAAAUGCAGAGCCCUGUGAAGGCUACUCCAUCCUGAUUCUCCAUCCUAAAAACAACACAAGUUUUUUAAUUAAUGGAUUCAGAGAGAUAAAGCCAUAGUUAAGGGAAGGAACAUCAGCAAUUCAUUCCAAUCCUAAGCAGCCACUCUCCACUCAUUGGGAUAAGUAAAACUGAGAUGGUUUAUCCUUAUACAGUAUACGUUGUGGAUUACACACCAUAAAAUAAUAAAGAACCUCAAUUACAAGAAAGCAAUCUCAGAAGGACAUUUCAUUUCCUUACAAGUUAGGUUUCUUUCAGUCCCUAAGUUUUGCAGCUCAAAAAAUCAAUUAGACAUCCAUCACAAUAAUGCCAUACAAUACAAGUUAAACAUUAGAAAACUCUAAAUAGAACUACCUUCGUAGGAAAAUUUAAAGUCAUGUUAAAUUAUAUAGACAUUUUUACAUUUUCUGAAUUCAAUUAAGAGAUCAUUUUAGUAGUUUAACAAUCAACUAACCACCAUUCACUUUUUGAUGUGCAGGGGUGAUUCUAUAACAGAGAAUUACCAACACAAGGUAUAACAGAGAAACAAUUGCACUGUAUGGUCUUGACUCUUUAGAACAAAAUAUGAAGGAAGUAGCAGAAUCAAUGUUAUAAAAAGGGUAAGCAAAUAGAUGCCAAACUUGAUAACUAGAAAAUGCUGAAAAGAGAAAUUAUCUUACCCGGGCAUCAGGAUCUGCACCAGCUGCAAGAAGCCUCCUUACAAUGGGAAUAUGGUUUCUCCAACUUGCAAUAUGAAGAGGAGUCAACCCAAAGGUGUUCCUCAGAUUAAUAUUUCCCCCACUCUUCUUCAAUGAUGCCAAGGCCAACUCUACAUCAUUUAGAGAUCCUUCUCGCACAACAAGCCACAAAUCCUUCUGGGAUCCAACACAUAAUAUUUUGCGGCCUGUUAUAUGCAAAUUCUGCUUUUGUAUUUGAAGGGAAAGGGCUACUUCCAUCACUACCAAAUGUGAUUAGUUAUCUUUGACAAUAUUAUAUCAUAGAUCAGAAAGAUGACUCCAACGGCUCAGCACUUAUAUUCCGCUCAUCCACCACCUGAUAUGUCAAGAGCUGGAUUCUCGAAAACUACUUCAUCUCCAGAAUACACUGGAACAUCCAACAAAAAUAGUCCUGAACCCAGUCCACCAGUCGAUUUUCACAAAUCCAUGGUAAUGUAAAAUAGUAACCAAAAUAUCAGCUAGAGAUAUCCAAUUAUAAGAUGAAUUGGCUCUUUUUAAUCUAUCACUAACAUCAACAUCAUUGCAGCCACCGUCUUUACUGUACUCUCAGCUAGCAGCAACCAUUGAUAAAGCCCAGUAUGGUUCACAUGCUACACGGAAAUCUGCCAUAAAUAGAAACACUAAUAAUGUAAUUCGUCUAUUGGCAAGACAAACGCUACAGGAAAACACUAAUUUUUUAGGAAAAAAGACAUAAGCAUGCACAAGCAAGUAAAGUCCCUUGGAACAGACAAGUAAAGUCUCAGUAUACAAGCAGCUAAGAACAAACAAAAGACAUAUUGAACAACUAAAUUGAUCCUUUGAAGGAAAAAAAAAGCAUAGAGCAAAAUGUACUAUAAACGUAACUUCACAACAAAAUUACAUCAACACAACAAAAUAAAAAUUGAAACCAUUUUUCUACAAAUACAAAAUCCACUGGCCCAGUAAUUCACAAAAUUAAAAACCAUCAUCCUGAUUAUUAUAAUUCAAACACAAAUCAUGAGACAAUGAUGCAACCCCCUUAUAAACCUAACUUCUUUGGAAAAACGCUACACACAUACUUGUAAAACUGUAGAUCUCUCUUCUAACUGCAUAUACCUGUGGAACCUGACUUGUGGGGUUCCCAUUUUCUAUAAGUCUUCGUGUGAUGCACCUAGGCUCCUUUCACGACUCUUUUUCUCUGCGAUCUUCUUUUUCUUACUGCAUUUCUCCCUUUCUGUUCUCGGUGUUCUUAUUUCUUCCCUGUCAAAAACAAGUAAGAAUGAAAAACCAAAUGCCAUGAAUCUUCAUUCAAGAUAAGCUUCACAAUUGAUCCGUGCACUCAGAACCCAAUUCAUCACUCUCCCACCCAACCACCAUUUCCAUAGUCUAUAUUAGUCCCAAACACUGAAUCAGGAAAUGACAACAACCUCAAAAGAAACACCAUCAAGCAGCACAUCUCGAAAAUCAUAACAAGAGCAAAAUCCAACCUUUCAACAGAAAUCACAGGCCCAAAAUUAUCUCAACAGCAAUGUAACACCAACCCACACAAAACAUUUCGCUGGAUCGUCCCACCAUACCCAGAAAAUCAUUUUACACAAAAAAAAAAUGAAAAAUUGAAGAAACCCAGAUGGCGAAAAAUCAAGUAAAGUGAUACCAGAAUCAGAAGUGAAGAAAAAUGGUAAAAGAAUGGAAAGGUUACCUUACCUUACCCGAUGACGUGGAGAGAAACAAACCCAGAACUCAGCAAGGAAUAAUUAAAGAGAAGUACGUCACAAUAGUUAAGCUGAAAGAACUAUAAAUGGUGAUGAUUUUCGUUUCCAAAGAGUAUCGAAACCCAGAAUAUACCCUCUCUCUCUCUCACACACACACACACACAAACCGUGAGACCAAAAAAAUGGCAUAAUAAAAAUAAACUAUUUUUCUUUCGUUACAAAAUUUGUAUGAAGAGAGAGAAGACAUUGAGAAAGGGAGAAGAAGCGGUCCCAUCCAUGACGGGUAAAUUGGGAAUUUCAGAGGGCCUUUGUUUGGACAAAAACACCCCUGACUUGCGAGACUUUGAUUCCAACGACGACGUCUGGUCUGGGGACUAGGUUGUUGUGGCUUCUCCAAACACUCAAUUUUUUUUCCGCAAAACAAGUGUUUCAAAAUCACACGUGGCAGAUUUCUUAUCUGACGCGUGGUUAGAAAACCUGAGCUGUAGGACCAAACAAGAAAAAAAAAUUAUUUUUUAUUUUUCAUACACAUAGACAUGCAUGCUUUGAUUAUACCAAUUUAAAUUAAACAUAUAUUCGCCAGAGUUGAUUUCAAAAUAAAUUAUCAUAUAAUAAAAUAGUAUAUGAUUUUAUAGUAAUUAAUUUAAAAUCAUUUAUAAUUAAUUGAAAAUUUAAAAAUUAUACAAAUUAAUUAUUGUAUUAGCCGAAAAUAUUUUAGACAAAGUGUUUUGUGUGAUUUCUGAAGUGAUGAGCUUUUAUAUGCUUUUAGAGUAUGUUUUAGACAAAUUAUUUGUAUUAAUUUACAAAUAUUAAUAUAAAUUAUAAUAUUAUUAUAUGUUUGCAUCGUUCAAAUACCUCAACACAAUAAAAGUAAAAAAUUCAACCUAUUUUCUAUUUUAAUUUUUAAUUGAAAAAAGAUACGCACAGUCAGCUUGAGAUAAUAACAUGUCGUGUCUUACCAGCUUUACCCUCCCUAAUCAAAAUGUAUAAUAGUUUUACAAAAAUAAUUUAAUAUAAAUGAUUAAUUAACAUUACCCUUAAAUAAAUAUUGAAAAAUAUCUGUUAGGAAAAAAUCUAUUUAUGGUAUUAAAUUAUAGAACAGUUAAAUAUUAUUUUUAGCAUUUAGUUCUUAUUUUACUAUUUCAGUUUACUGGAGCAUUAGUUAACACAUAACAUCAUAGCAAAAAUUAUUAAUAAACAAUUUAUAAUUCAAUAGGUUGGUGUAUUAGUUAAGCGAAAUGUACUUAUAACAAAAAUCAUAGUUAAAAUUGCUAACGAAUUAGUCUCUGUUAAAGAAAAAUUGUGAUAAAAUAAAAAAAGAUUAACUAAUGUUUUAAAUAUAUUUAUUAUCAAUUUCCUUAAAUAAAUGGAAAGAAUAUUCUGAAGUAGAUUCUAAAAAUGCAGAGGAGAUGUUUCUGUUUUAAAAUAUAUUUAAUGUAUUCAAUCUUUUAGGAAUAUUUAGAAUUUAUAAUAUCGUGAUCUGUAAUACAUAUUGUAAGAAUAUAUGUUGACUAGAAAAGGUAUAAAUUGGCAGUAAUUAAAAUUUUUAAGAGAGAAUUUUUUUAAUAGAACUUCCUGUCUUUCUUUAGACAAAUUGGUUCAUAAAUUUGAAUUCAAUAAUCCAAAGAAUACUUAAAGAACUUCAAAAAUAAUAUUGAUUAUGAUAUAAAGUAUUUAAAGAAUAAAAAAUGAAAAAAAAAAGUUAAGAAAAGAAGAUCUUACAAAUUAUUUAUACUUGUUAAAGAAGUUAAGAUGUAAAGAAAUCACUUAACAUUCUUAUCUAAUGAUUCUAUUUAAGAUAGCUCACCUCAAACAUAAAAUCCUUUAAAGUUCAUGCACAAAAUUUUACAUUUGAUUUUUUUACACAAGUUUAUUAAAGUUGAAGCACAAAAAUUUACAUUUGAUUCUUUUACACAAGUUUAUCAACAAAAUUGUAUUAACUCUUUUCUUAAAAAGUUACAGUUAAAUAAAAAAUUUUCCUAGUUUAAUUUCAUAAAGACAUUUUUCCGUUUUAAUCACACAAAGACAUUUUUCCGUUUUAAUCACACGUAAAUCUUGAAGAUUUUAAGAAUGUUUGUGUACCGACCAGGCAGUCGGGAGUAAUGACGUGGCAGCAAGCGAUAAUAUAGGCGUGUUGAGCGGAACACCUGGCUAACAGAAGGGCAGGAAGUCGGGGAGCUCGCGUAGUCGCCAAUCAUUAAGUUGGCGUGCUCCGAUCUCUAGCAUAUCUAAACUGGCGGUCACCGGGUUUGUGUCGUAAUCGCCAGAUGCGAACCCAGGCGACUAAGUGAUCAGAGAUCGCCGAGAAGAGGACAUCGCCGAAAGAUCAGGAAAGCUUGUUCAAGGCUUUCAAAGGGCACAAGUGCGAAGGAUGAAGUUAUCAGAUGAUCAUUCCCUAGCUAGCCAGAGGUUGAGGCCAGGGAACAGCUUACCAGGACAUGCACGGUGAAGCAAGUGAAGCAGAUCAUGAUGGCGGCCGGCGAGAACACAGGGAAGGUGUGCAUGGUGACACCCCGUACUCGCCACACAGAAGAGAUCGCGCUCCAAGGCAGCUAUACACCGAGUUGCUCCUCACCUGAGUAACUUAGUCGAACAGCCUGAAGAGUAAGAAGUGACGCUCAAGCAGAGGACGUUCCAGAUGGUGACACGUGUACAGCUGGAUGCGAGCCACGUGUCCAGAGGUGUAACCGUCAGGAGAGAGAAAGUGCACAGGUAUAUAAGGGAUUCUAACGAACUUCUGAGGUACGCGCGUUUAGAACACUUCUUUACGCUUGUGAGAACUUGAGUACGCUGAGAGAGAACAUUGCACGGUUCCUGGAGUUCUUAGUUUUUCUCUUAGUAUUUUGGUGGUUCAGUCACUGACUUGAGCGUCGGAGCGCGAUCGACCGCAGCGGCACCACUUUGUCUUUUGCAGGUUCUUGAGGAGAAUCGAGGUGCGAAAGACGGAAGCAAGCGUGGUGCAAAGUCGAUCACAGAGGAAGAUACCUUUGACGUGGCAAGGCUCUUGCUCUCUGGUCAACCGGCAGGAUCAGUUUGAAAUAUUUUGUAAUCUCUUAUUAUUUUCAAAAGGCACUCUUCUUCUUUCACAAUGAGAUUGAACAACAAAAUGAUAAAAAUUGUGUAAUUUAGUAUUGAAAAUUCAAAAAAUAACAAAUGCAUAAAAAAUUACAUAAAUGGGUAAGUCACCAUUAGUGAGUACAAUCUCAAACACUACAAGAAAAUCAUGAAAUAGAAACCAAUUUUUAGACACCAAAAUAAUUAGUUACAAUAAAAACUAAAAUAGAGACCAUUUUAGAAACUAAAAAAAAAUUGGUUUCUAAAUUAGUUUCUAUUAUUUUCUAUUAUUGCUAAAUAGUUUCUAAAUUGGUAUCUAUUUUAGUUUCUAAAAUGGUCUCUAAUUGGUUUCUAAAUUUGGUAGCAAAAAUCUUGGUUGCUAAUUAGAUACCAAUUUAGAAACUAUUUAACAAUAAUAGAAAAUAAUAGAAACUAAUUUAGAAAUCAAAUUUCUUUUUAGUUUCUAAAAUGGUCUCUAAUUUAGUUACUAUUGCAACUAAUUAUUUUGGUUUCUACAAAUUAGUUUCUAUUUCAUGAUUUUCUUGUAGUGAAAUAUUCAAAACAACAAAAGAUGUAUAGUGUGAGUACAAAUUUCAGUUUAAAACAGAUAUUGUCAACAAAAAAUACGACUUUUAUGUAAAAUUUGAAUAAAAGUAGUCAUCAUUCAUACGACUUUAAUUAAGCUCACUAAUUUGCCUAAAUUAUUUUUAAUAGAAGUCGCAAACUUCAGUUCAAAUAAAAUACAAAGAAUUUGUACUUAGGGUUGGCAACUUUAGUGUAUUUUAUUUGAACGGGAGUUGUCAUCCUAGUUGACAACUUCAGUUGAAAUAUUUUUUUUCCUCUACAAAAUAAAAAUAUGCAUAUAAUAAUUUAGAAAUUAAUUUAAAAUUACAUGAACUAAACAAUGUUGUGUAGAAUUCCAUUUAUAGUAUAUAAUUUCAAAUUUUCAAUUUUAUUUUAUUUAAAAAAUCAUAAAUAAAGUUGAAGAAUUAAAACUAUUUUUAUCUUUCUAAUUCUUUUGUUUAGUUUUCAUGUGGAAGGUUAAACUCUUAUGGGUUGAUUUCACAAUUAAUUUUGAGGUUAUGUGGACUAAAGUUUUAUUCUUCAAUAUUUGUAAUAAGUUACGCCAAAUGGUGUAGUCUUUUUUAGUUCUAAUUUCUAUUAUUGGAAUUAUUUUUGAAUGCAUGUUAAUGACUCAAUUUUGUUCUUUAAUUACAAUUCUUGUUCAAUUUAUGAGCAAUAUCUAUCUUUUUAAUUUAAGAGGUAAAAGAUAAAAUCUUACAAAUAGACGCAUGGAGAUGAAUAAAGUACUCAAUGAAUUAGUGGACGCAUGUUUCAUUAAUUAGAUUCUAUUGAAUUGAUUGACUUUGGUCAAUUCAAUCUUAUUUGGAGAUUGAAUGAAUAAUAUAUAUGUCCACUGAUCAAGGAUUCACUGCCAGAUGAACUUGAGACUCGACCUUUUUUUAUCUUCUUACUUUUAUCUUUUAAUUUUUUGUUCAAACAACCACAUAACCACCUUUUAAUUAGUUGUUCUUAUUAUCUAACAAUUAUUGUAGAUGAUAUAUGAAAUGUGUCUUACUAAUAUUAUACUUAAUAUAUGUUCAUCUCUUUUUGCAGACGAUCCAUUAUAGAGUCUUCUACUGGAACACUUUUAUUUGGUUGAAACCACAUCAACCAAACUCACUUUAACUCAAUCUCUUAAUAUUAUAAUUAUUUGCUUAUUAUUAUCUAAUUCACUUACUAGCUUAAACAUUAGAGUAUUAUUUAUAUAUGUAACUUGAUUCAAAUCAUUCUUAAUUUUUUUAUCAAACUGAAGUAAUUUCUUAUUGCAAUUCAUAACUUAACUCAUAAAGAUAAAAUACAACAAAUAUUGUUUAUUUAUAAGGCAGUAUUUAAGCGAUGACAACUUCCUGUGAUAUAUGUGUGUAUGUAUGUAUGUAUAUAUGUAUGUAUGCAUAUAUUUUGAAUGUCAUGUUGCUCAUUAAGUUUAGUCUUGGCUUUAGCAAGUCUUUCCUAUGGUGAUUUUUUCUUCUUCUGAAAAUUUAAUCCACUGCAUUAAAUCCUUGGGAAGUCCCAAACUUGUGUAACUAUUAUUUUCUCAGGAUGAUUUGGAGGAUGAGAAAUCACCUUAGGUUUCAGCGAGAAAUCAAUAUUCACAUGGUUAUUGAGACAAUAAAGAACUAUGUCAAACUUUCUGGAAACUCCUUUAAGAAUGACAUCUUCGAUUUUUCUGUUUUGAAAUUCUUUAAAAUUAGUUCGCGACUAACAAAAAUUUUGCAGCCUAUUCAAGUUGUUUGGAGUUUUCAUCAGGUUAGUUGGAUUAAAGUCAAUACAAAUGGUGUAACCAAGGUUUUUCGGGCCUUAUUGCUUCUGUUAGGAUUUUAAGAGGUAGUAUGAGAGAGUUUGUUGGUGCAUUUUCUUCCAUCUUGGUGUUCGAUCGUAUAUUUAUGUUGAAUUCAUGGAAGCUAUCAUUUCUACUAAACAAGAUCAACAUGUUGGAUAUUGUCGCUUUUGGUUAGAGAGUGACUCUACCUUGGUAUGCCUUACUUUCUCUUUUAUGCAUUUUCAUCUUGUUCCUUGGGUUAUACGUAGUAGAUGGAAUCACUACAACAUUUUUUAGUUUAGGCAACGCUAAACUAGACCAAGAGUAUAAAAUUGUUUCCUCAACAUAGUAAAUGUCACAGUUUUAAAGAUGUGGCUUAAAAAUUAUAAGAAGCUACAAUUUUUAACUCGUUGACACUUUAAGCCAUAGUUAUAAAAAUGUUAAUAUUUUAAGUCACGAUUAUCUACGCGUGGCCUUUGGGGUCUAAGAAAAAAUUGAAAUAAAAUAUAAUCUAAUUUUGCGUUCCCGCUCUCGUGAAAAAACGAAUGCACUCAACACACAAUACAUUGUGUCUCUGUUUCCCUCGCGUUCUUUGUGUUUUCUUCCUCGCUCUUGCGUUCUUCCUGCUUUCUUCAUCACUGUCUUACGGUCUUUCUCACUCACGUUCUUCCUCACUGUCUUGCAUUCCUGUCUCGCAUUCUUGUCUGACGUUCUUCCUCACUUCUCAUCUAGACAACAUUGAGCUUUGGUAAGUUUGUUUGUCAUCUUUCUCACUCUUUCAUCUAUAUAAUUUAGGGUUUUUUUUGUUAGGUUUUUUUGAAUGAAUUUUUUUUAUUGUUUGUUUGGGGUGUCAAAGAUUUUUAGGGUUUGGAGUGUUUGGAAGUCUCUGACCUCACAACACCGAAAAAAACUUCAUAUUCAACUUUGGUGCUUAACGCACCACUGCUCAAGGUGUUGUUGCUCCUCAAGACAUUGCUUUGGUUGCCUUUGAUAUUAAUUCUUUAAUUUUUUUAUUAUUUUAUUGCUUUAAUUUUUACUUUUCCUUUUGUUAUUAAGUUUUUAUGUUAUUAGUUUCUAUGUUUCUACCGCUUACUAAACUAAUUUGUCAAGAAUAACGUAGAAUUUUGUUCUAGAUAUUAUUAUAGCUAUAUAUUAAUAUAUAUUUGAGGGAAAGUCAAUUCUUCAAAACAAAACCUAAAAAUUGUAUCUAACUUUUCUUCCAAUUUGAUUUCAUACUGUUAGGCAAUAUAAGCAAUUAUGAAUAACUCAUUAGUUAGUUAGCAUGCAGAUUAAACAUUAAAGGAUUGGUGGAGUGGUAGUUGGAAAGAACAUAUUAUAAUUUAUAAUUUCUUCUAUAUUUAAGUUCAUUUGUUUUAAUGGAUUAACAAGAGCUUAUAAUCACGGUCCUCGUUCUAAGCCUAAUAUUAUAUAUAGAGACAGAUUCUCGUCUCCUUUAAUGUUUAAAUUAGUGCACUAAUUCAUUGACUUGUACCUAUGGAAUAAAUCUAUAAGGGAAUGUGGAAUAUGUAAAUGUUCUCUGUUGCUCUAAAAUUAAGCUCCAUGCUUCUUUGUCAAUGGGAAAACUCACUAACCGAAAGGAUUGAGAAUGUUACAACUCAAAUUUAUUUUUAAUGGUUUUAAUUUUUUAGCAUUUACUUUUGCUCACACUAUAAAUUUUAUUCACUAAAUUAACUAAUUCAAUAUGAGAAAGACUAAGUGAUUUGUCAUUACUUAUAGGCUUGUUUCAGAGGUUUUAUUGUCUCUCUGAAUUCAAUUUUUCUUAUUGUUAUUGUGUAGGUUUAGUUCUUAUUUAUUUCUUUGAAAAAUGAUUAUAUUUUAGUGCCAUUCAAUGACCUCAAAUAUUCUAGGUGCCAUAUAGUUAAAGCUCACAUUCGUGUGAAGCCUGAGUAGUUUAGGCAUGCAACAUACCUCUAAAUACAACAUACCUGACUCUGGCUUUUUUUAUUUAUAUAAAAGUUUGAUAGCUUUUUGUGCAAGUUAUUUAUUGGGUCUUCAUUGCUCAGAAAAGAAAAAGAAAAAGAAAAAGUUGCCUAUAUUUAGACGGUUGAUAGCAGAGUUUCAAAUUCAAUGGGUUUUUUUUUUAUGAAAUCAAUAAAUAAAAUCAAUAACAAAAAUUAAAGUUUUACAAUUGAAAUUGAAAUGUAAAGGGUAGUUCGAUGAAUUGUGCCUUCAUAGCCGAUUGAAAUUCUUUGAAUGUUGAGAUGAAUUGUGGAAGCUUCAAUGGAGGAGGCGUGCAAGGAGGCGUGCAAGGAGGCUUAUUUGAAGCUAUGGAUUCCUUGAAGGUGCAUGCUAGGUAUGAAGAGUGACUGGUUGGACCAUAUCACUUGAGCUAGGUAGAGAAGAAGACUAAAGUGUCUAUCCUAAGGAGGCAAGACAAGAGUGAGAAUUUGGCUAGCAACUUUGGCAGCAAUUUCACUCAUUCAUUAAUCUUGUAAAAACAUGAGCCAAACACCUCAAUUUAUAGGAGUGAAGGCUGAAAAUUUUGGAGCCAAAAUUUGAAAAUUCAAAAUAAAACUCUCCAAUAAGAAGGUGUCUUGUGCAGCAGUCAUGCUUUCACUACAAGAAAAUCAUCAAACAAAAACCAAUUUUUAGACACCAAAAUAAUUAGUUGCAAUAGUAACUAAAUUAGAGACCAUUUUAAAAACUAAAAAAAAAUAGUUUCUAUUAUUGUUAAAUAGUUUCUAAAUUGGUAUCUAAUUAACAACCAAAAUUUUAACUACCAAUUAUUUAGUUUAUAAAUUUGGUAGCAAAAACCUUGGUUGCUAAUUAGAUACCAAUUUAGAAACUAUUUAACAAUAAUAGAAACUAAUUUAGUUACUAUUGCAACUAAUUAUUUUGGUCUCUAAAAAUUGAUUUCUAUUUCAUGAUUUUCUUGUAGUGUUUCCAUGUUUAGCUCACACCUUCCAUGCUAAAUCAUCUCCACUCCUAGGUUGCCAUAUGAACGUCCAUGUGCUCCAUGCCAAGGUGAUUUUCGUCCUCCAAUAUACCCUAGACGUUUUAGGGUUACAUUGGGCUCAAAGAAGCCCAAUUGUUACCCUGACUAGUCAAUUUUAACCCUAACUAUACCUAUUUUACUAUUGGCCCAAAUACAAGCCCAAAACCCUAUGCUACUUGGCCCAAAUAUUUGGUCCAAUUAUUUUAUACUACUAGGCCCAAUACAUGUCCCAUGAAAUCCUAAACAACUUUAUACAAUUUAUUUAAGCUAAAGCUUGACCCAAAAAUAAUGUUGCAGCAAAAAAUCAAUCUUCUUGUGUUCUUCUAACCAAAGCUCUAGUUUAUGUUUUGAUGAUUUGGAGGUCUUCUUGGAUAUGUUUGUACAUUCCUUCACCCUAGAGUUGUCCUCUUGAUUGAGCCUACAAAAGCCCAAUUAGACCCAUAUUUGCAAAUAAAUCAAUAAACAACCUCUAGGUCUUCAUCCUACUUAUUAUGUGGUUGUGUGUGGCUGGGGGCUCAACCAUCAAGUGUGUCAUUCACAUUGUCUUUUUAGGAAUUGAUCAAGUAAGUAUACCCAUUGGCUCCAUGUAUCUUCACAUCAUCAAAGCCCUGAAUAAAUGAUUAGUUCAAUAACCUUUUGUUGACUUUGUCUCGUUAUCAUAUUCAUUAAUAUGAAGUUUUUAGUAACAUUAUAUUUUGGUCCUUUAUUACAUCCAUGAAAGAUGCCACUAUGAUGAGAAUGUAUGCAAACUAUUGUCUAACUUUCUUGCCUAUAGAGAGAUAUUUUUAUUUUCUCUUAAGUAAAACAUCUAUACUUUAUUCUAUAUUAUGAAUAGUUUAAUUCGUAUGUUGCUGUUAUGGUAAUGUUUUUUGAAAAAAAUCAGCAUCCAAUUGGAACUCUUGUAGAUACAGGAUAUUGGAUGACUUCAUAAAAAUUAAAUUCUUUAAGUUUCAUAUAUUCAUGUGAAUGUAGCUCUCUGUUUUAUGUACUACCUUUUAGAUUUCUUUCUAAUUCUUGGUGUUGUUAUUGAUGAAACUAAGAAAGAGACAUAACUAAGGGAAGCAAAUAAAAGUAAGAGUGCUUAAAGAAAUUAGGAUUGAUUUACUACUGACAUUUUAAUGACCUUUUUAGAAAUCAUCUUUCCACAUGUUCAACUAUAUUUUAUCUCAAUCUUUGUACGUCUGAUAACUAUUGAAAGAGGUCAGUUGUGUGAUAAACAAACUUAACUCAUUUAUCAUUUUAAAUAUUCAAAGCAUGUUUACUUUUUGUUUAUUUAAUGGUUAAAUAUAUGCUGGAAAUAUUUAGAUUCAUGGACCUAAAUGUUUUUUGUUUUUAUUAAUCCUUAUUGAUAAGUUUAGGCAUCACCUUUAUAAAAGUCUAUUUUAGUAACGAUUUUACCUUAAUUAAAUUAUAUUAGUUUUUAAAAUUUGACUCAAUUCAAUCAGUGUACAAUUAUAUUUAAUUAUUGUAAUAAUCGAGUUAGUAUGAUGUAUGGUAGGUAUUAGGUAUUGCAAGUCUACUCUACAAUUCAGAUUCAUUUAUUUGUUCCCAUUUUCUCUCACCAACACACAUACUAGUUAUUCCUCCAAGAACUCCACUUGCUAGCUCCAAGUCAAGUUCUAUAACUUGUUAUUAACUCAUAUUAAAUUGGAGGAGAACAAGUAUUUAUCAUCUUUUAUUCUUAUUAUUGUUCAAACUUAUUAAUUAUUUUGGAGACAUUUACAAUAUAUGAUGAUUUUUUAUCUAUUAGAUUUAAGAUGGUGGACAAAGAGUGGACUAAAUUUCCAAGGUUUCGUAAAGAGUAUAUUAAUGGUGUUGAGUUAUUUUUAGAUUUUGCAUACACUAGUGGAAGACCUCAAGGAAUGAGAUUUUGUGCUCUUGUUCUAAGUGUAGAAAUCGUUGUUGGACAAGAAGAGAUGUAGUCUAUGAUCAUUUAAUAGCUAUAUGAUUUCUAAAAGGAUAUAAAAUUUGGGUAAACCAUGGGGACGAAAUAUCAUAGUUGCCUAUUAUAAAUGAUGAUGACAUGGAAGAUGAUAUUGACAGCUUAUUGCAUGAUACAUUUAGAAAUGUGAUAGAAGAAAAUGGUGGAAACGAUGGUCCUGACGAGGAAGAAAAAAAAAUCUACAAUUUGAUUAAUGAGGCAAAACAAGAGUUAUACCCUGGAUGCGAAAGUUUCUCUACUCUUUCUUUCAUAAUUCGAUUGUAUCUCUUAAAAUGUCUUCGUGGGUGGAGCAAUGCCUCAUUUUCUAACCUAUUACAAUUAUAGAAAGAAGUCAUGUCGAAUCUAAACAUUCCUGAAUCCUUUAAUAAAAUAAAGGCCUCAAUUAAAGAUUUAGGCCUUGAUUAUAAGAAGAUUCAUGCAAGUCCAAAUGAUUGUAUGUUAUAUUGGAAGGAGAAUGAAACUGACAUUUUUUGUGAUAAGUGUAAAGUUUCAAGGUGGAAGGAAUCUUGUGAUGUAAAUUUUGACUUACAACAACAACAAAAUCAGCAGAAACUGCUUUCAAAAAUUUUGAGGCACUUUCCAUUAAUUCCUAGACUUCAAAGGCUAUUUAUGUGCUCAAACACUACAGAGUCAAUGAGGUGGCAUGAAGAAGAGCGGUCAAAAGAUGGUAAAUUGAGACACCCUGCUGAUGGUGAAGCUUGGAAAGACUUUGAUAGACUUUAUUCUAAUUUUUCUUCUGAGACACGAAAUGUAAGACUUGGUCUAACAAGUGAUGGCUUCAAUCCAUUUAGGACUAUGAGUAUAUCACAUAGUACUUGGCCAAUCAUGAUGGUGGUGUACAAUUUUCCAUCAUGGUAAUGCAUGAAACCCGAAUACACUGUGUUGUCACUAUUAAUUCCUGGACCACAAUCACCAGGAAAUUAUAUUAAUGUGUAUUUGCAACCACUAAUUGAGGAAUUAAAGGAAUUAUGGGAAAUGGGUGUAGAAACAUAUGAUAUCUUAAGAGAUCAAAAAUUUCAAAUGCAUGCAACUCUUUUGUGGACUAUCAAUGACUACCCUGCAUAUGCUAUGUUGUCAGGUUGGAGAACUAGAGGAAGGUUGGCAUGACCAUGUUGCAAUCAUGACACAUUCAUCUUACUUGAGACAUAGUCAUAAGAUGUGUUAUAUGAAUCAUCGUGUCUUUUUACCACCAAAUCAUGCAUGGAGAGUUAAUAAAAAGUCCUUUAAUGGAAAGAAAGAGUUUGGAUUUGCACUAACUAUGUUAGAAGGGAUUGAAAUCCUAAAAAUAUUAAAGGAUUUCAAAAAUUAUUUUGGAAAGAAUAAAAAAAAGAUGGCCCGUGGAAAAAGAGAUCAAUCUUUUUUUAGUUUCCCUAUUGGUCACAAAAUAAAUUACGACAUAAUCUUGAUGUAAUUCACAUUGACAAAAACAUAUGUGAUAAUGUUAUUGGAAGUCUUUUGGACAUUCAUGAAAAGACAAAUGAUCAUAUUAAUGCACAUUAUGAUUUACAAGAUAUGGGAAUUAAAAAGAAUCUUUAUCCUAGGGAGAUUGAUGGAGGUCGUGUACAAUUUGCAAGAUCUUGUUUUUCAAUGAAUGCACAUGAAACGUCAAUUUUUUGUGGUGUUUUAAAGGCUUCCAAAUUACCAUAUGAGAUUGCAUCAAAUAUUUCAAAGUGUGUGAAUGUUAGUAAAAAAAAUUAGUGGUUACAAGACUCAUGAUGCACAUUUCAUGCUACACUACUUGUUACAAGUUCCAAUAAGAAGCAUAAUGCCUCAUGUAGUGGCUAACCCUUCAAUUCGUUUGGGGUCCUUUUUUCCCUCUGUGUCAAAAAGUGAUCCAUGUGCAAGAUUUGGAUUUCUUAGAAUCUAAUAUUACAGAAGUACUUUGUCAGAUGGAGACAAUAUUUCCUCCUAUUUUUUUGACAUAAUGGUUCACUUGCCUAUCCAUAUAGCAAAUGAAAUAAGGUUAGGUGGGUCGGUGCAAUUUCGAUGGAUGUAUCCAAUUGAGAGAUAUUUAUGCAGACUUAAAAGUUAUGUUCGAAAUAAAGCUUACCCAGAAGGUUUUAUUGUUUAAGGGUAUUUAGCAGAAGAAGCUUUGACACUUUGUUCAAGAUAUUUGCAUAAAGGUGUAGAUAUAAGGCUGAAUAGAAAAAGGAUAAAUUAUGAGGGUAAUGAUUUAUGUGAUGUAGAUUUGUGUGAUUACUUUUCAAGUAGUGGUCUUCCUUUGGGGGGAAAUAAAAAAGGUAAAUCAUUUUCUUUGGAUUUUACAUCUAAAGAUCAAGCACAUCGAUACCUCUUAUUCAAUUGUUACGACUUAGACAUAUACAUUAGGUAUGAUAAUAGUUUUUUUUCUCAUUUUCUCAAUUAUAAAUUAUAAUUCAAAUCACUAACAAAAUGUGUUUGUAUUUAUAGAGAGUGUGAUGAUAUUUUAAAUAGGAAGACUAAAAGAAGAAAGUGGAUUAAGACGGAGAACCAAAAUCAAGAUUUUAGUGAAUAGUUCAAAGAUAGAGCCAUGAAAGACGACAUAUCACUUCCACUUAAAGAAUUCUCUUAUGGUCCUAAUAGUGUUGCAAAGAGAUUUUCAGGUUACCUCAUCAAUGGUUAUAGAUUUCAUACUACAAAGAGAGAUGCAACACACAAAACUCAAAAUCCUGGUGUAACUUUGGUUUCAUUGACUCCAAGUUAUGCAAGUUCUAAGGAUGAAAAUUCUAGGAUAGAACAUGUCACUUAUUAUGGGGCAAUCAAAGACAUAAUUGAGUUACAUUAUUAUGGUCAUUUGAAAUUUGUGAUGUUUAGGUGUGAUUGGUUUGAGGGUGGGGAAGACAAAUAUGGACUUACAUGUAUCUACUUUAACAAAAAAUGUUACCAAAAUGACCCCUUUGUGUUGGCUUCCCAAGUCCACCAAUGAUUUUUUGUUUAAGAUCCUUUUGAUAUAAAUAGAAACUAUGUUUUGAAGACAGUUCCAAUAGACAGUUCCAAUAUGUCUGUCACUAUAGCUGAGAAACCUUCUAAACAUUUGGACAGAAAAUUAUUCUGAUGAUCUUGAUUUUGAUGACACUUUGUUUGACUACAUGGACUAAGAGGAGGAUUGUUAAUGCUGAUAGGAUGACAAAUUGUCUGAUGUGAGAAUUCUUGAAAUUUAAGUUAUAGAAUGUAUAAUUUUUGUUUAUCUAUCCUUAUUAUUAUUUUCAGUCCACUUAAAUUGUAUUCUUCAUUGUUUGUUAUAAUAACAAACAAGCAAAAUGAAGGAAAAUUGGAAAACUUUUUGUGAAUUUGGCUUGUUUUCUGUUUUCAUUUUUAAUUGAUAUGUUUUCUCAAAACUGCCAUAUUGUUUUCUAUUUUUUCCUUUUAUAUCAUGUCUUCUUGCAUUCAACACUUUAAAAUAUGCAUUCAAAAACUAAAUUUUACUUUGUGGUCUUGUUAUAUUCUAUAGUUACAUUCUCUUACAUUGUGGUCCUUCAUAUAGCAUGUUAAUAAGAUGACUAAUUAUGUUUUGCUUUAACUUCCAUGGUGGUAUAUCAAAUUAUUGUUUUCACAUAAUGAAUAAGGAAGCAAACUUAAAACGACAUAUGAAUGCUCAAGACAAGAUUCAAAUGAGUGUUGCAAAUUUGGAACCUCCUCUCGUAAAAUCAAGCAAAAAAUUGCUAAGAAAAAUGCAAAUCAAACGUGAAAAAAUGACAAGUAAAGAAUGUACCACUGCACCUACUAUUGUUGCCCAAAGACAAGUGAGCUUGCCUAAUCUUAAGGUAAGUGACUAAAUAAAUUUGGACAGGAUGCUUAAUUAACAAAACAAAAUGUUGCAGUUGCAAGUACUGUUCAACAUAAAAUUCAUAGUCAAAACAAACAUUGAUUGGAAGAAUUGACAUCUAAAAGCAUCAAACAUAGACAACUCCCAGAACCAAAUAUGAAAUCCACGAAAAAGACAACAAUUGCAAGUGAUAAGUCAAAGGAAAGGCUACAAGCACUUGAAAGAGCAUUGACUCAACUUAGUAAUUCUAGUGCCAAUGAAUAACUUGAGCAAAAGGGAGUCUCACCAGAGGAGAAUUCUAAGAAAAGACAAUUGCCUAUGAAAUUAGUACAAGUUGAAGUUGAUAGUUCAAAGGUAAAAGGUCAACUUAGAAAAAAGACAAGAAUGAUGGAUGACAACUCAAAAUCUAAGGAAGGAAUAGUGAUUGAAGAUGUUGAAUCAAUGACAAAACAACAACACGCUCCUAAUAAAACACAAACAAAAAUUUUGUCCAUCAAUGUCAAUAAAUCAAUUUCUUAAAGAAAAUGGAAACAAUAAAAGUGAAGAAAAAAAUGUUCAAAAUGGAAGUGAGGAUGAAGAACAAUAUGUUGGAGAAGAAAAUGCAUACCAAGAUGAAGAUGGAGUGAAUACGAUAGAAGGUAAAUGUUUAUUAUUACAAAUAGACAACAUUUUUUUUCCAUAUUUAUGUCUUCUUUAUAAUAUUUCAUUUAAUGAGUUCAAUGUUAAAAUAGGAACAAGUAAGAAAAAAGCGCAAGGUCAAACUCAAUGCUUAGUAUACACAUGGAAGAUCUAGUCAAGAACGUCCAGAAGUUAUCUUAGACAUUGAUCGAGAACCAACUGGUCCCACUUGACAAGAUUUUAACUGACUUAAGUUAUUUCCUUGGCACGAUAACUAGGACUUCUUCCUUUUGUCCCUUGAUUUACACAAAUUUCAAAGCUUUUCUCAAUGAUAAAUAUAACAAGGCUCGUAUAUGAGCAUAUGUUAUGGUAUGAAAAAUAAAUUUACAUUGAUUUAAUGAUCAAAUAUUUAUGAAAAUACAAUCAUUCUAAUUCUCUUUUAUAAGAAAAGUUCAUCAUUAGUGAUAAAGGAGAGAAAGCGAUAUUUACUCGGAUAAAUGAUGCAUGGAGACACUACAAGAGUUUUAUCAAUAAAAGACACUUUUUAAAGUACUACACAUUGAAGGAUCGCCUCAAAUAUCGUCCAUUAUUCAAUUCUGAAGAUCAUUUCAAACAAUUGUUGAAAUAUUGGAACACUAGCAUUAUCAAGGUUAGAUAAUUUAAUGUCUUAUUUCUUUAAAAUUGCAUUAUUAUCUACCUUCAUUGUUAUUUUUAUCUUAUUACAAUGUGGAGUAUUAGUGAGCAAAAUGUUGCAAAUAGGGCACAACAAAAGUACAUUCAUCGCUUGAGACCAACCAAUUUAGCUAGAAUUCAUGUUGAAUUAGUAAGAUAAUUCUAAUUAUGUCUCAAUAUUUUAAAUCCAAUACAAAAACAUCCUUUUUCUUAUUAUUGUUUUUUAAUAUAUAAUUGUUGUAGCGUGCCAAUAAAAAGGUAGGAGAAAAAGUUACCCAAGUUGAAAUGUUUAUUACAACUCGUCAACAUCAAAAAGGCCGAAGAGGAAAAGAAAUGGAUGAAGAAACAUAUAAUAUCAUUGUAAGUUUACAAAUAUUUAUGAAGUACAUAAAAAUAUGUUCUUUUUAAUAGUUGAAAUUCAUUCUCUUUUAUUAGACUAAACUUCAAGGUUCUAUUCAAAACUCAAGUGAAUAUGCACACUACAAGAAAAAUUGGAAUUAUAUACCGCCAAAAUCUGUAUGUAAGACCCAAAAUUCGUAUGUAAUGUAAAAAAAAUUNNNNNNNNNNNNNNNNNNNNNNNNNNNNNNNNNNNNNNNNNNNNNNNNNNNNNNNNNNNNNNNNNNNNNNNNNNNNNNNNNNNNNNNNNNNNNNNNNNNNAUUAUAAUUAAUAUUAUUAAUAUUAUAAUUAAUAUUAUUAAUAUUAUAAUUAAUAUUAUUAAUAUUAUAAUUAAUAUUAUUAAUAUUAUAAUUAAUAUUAUUAAUAUUAUAAUUAAUAUUAUUAAUAUUAUAAUUAAUAUUAUUAUUAAUAUGAUAAUUAAUAUUAUAAUUAAUAUUAUAAUUAAUAUUAUUAUUAAUAUUAUUAUUAUUAUUAUUAAUAUUAUUAGUAUUAUUAUUAAUAUUAUUAGUAUUAAUAUUCAUAUUAUUAAUAUUAUAUUCAUAUUAUUAAUAUUAUAUUCAUAUUUUUAUAUUAAUAUUGUUAAUAUUAUUAAUAAUAAUAAGUAUAAUAAAAAUCAUAAUAAUAUUAAGGAAUUUGCUUACUGUACUUGUAGUGUGCAGAACAAGCAUUUCAAUCAAUAUUUGGAAAAGAGAAACCUGGAAGAAAAUUAAGACAUAGAGGCAAUGGUAAAAUUUGUGGUAAAGCAGCAAAAUCCAGAUUUAAAGGAGGAUGACACAUGUUUUAACUAAAGAAAGUAGUGGAGUGAGGCUACAUUCAUCUCCAUCCACCCAUGAUUUUCAUUAUGAGCAGGUAUAUAUAAUUGAAAAGUAUUUACUGGACUUUGAGAAAAGUUUUCAAGUUACACAUGAAAUUGCAUUGAUUUGUAAUGUUGGAGGAGUACAUUUAAAAGUUACAAUUUUAUCCUUAAGUUUUUUUUUUUGCUUGGAUCAUGGAGAUAUAAACACAUACAUAAUCAUAUUGGAAUUUCAAUCAUGUUAAUAAGUUUAGUGAUAUGGAUUAGAAUAGGUGGUACUCUUGAUUUUGUGUUGUAAACACAUACAUACAAUUGUCUAGUGUUACGUCAAAGUUUAAUGAAUUUGAUUAAGGCAUGUUAUUGAUUAUUUAUAAAAUUAUAUUUUGGUAGUUGCUAUAUUUAUUUUGUUUGAAUUAGAUUUAAUUAGUAUAUAUUUAUGUACUUUUUUUUAACUUGAAGUCAAUGAAGACUAUGAAACCAAUAUUGAAGAAGAAUGAACUUAUUGAUAUGUGUAGUAAUGAAACAAUAGAUUAUGUUUUUUAGGCAAUGGUUUUAAAAUUGUUGUCUUUAUAAAAACUGUGACCUAUUACAAACGGUCACGCUCAUCUUGACCACGACCAAAAAACCAUUGCCUAAACUUUAGGCCACGAUUUUUAUGCUUUAGACCACAAUUUUAUGUUGUUGUCUAAAGUAAUAAUUAUUGUAGUGAAUAAAUGUUUAUCUUUUUGUACAAGGAUUGAGUUUAAAGUAUUACAUAUUUUUAGGGUCAAGUAACUAAUAUGCUGAGAGUUCUACAUGUUUGCUUAAUUAGCUUGACUUUGUUUAGUUUUUUAUUUAGACUUUUUCAUAUUUGGUAUAAACUUUUUAUGUAUAGUUUUGAAUAAUUGAGAUAUUAAAUAUCAUAGUAAUAGUAAUGUCUAAUAUAAGUUGAUUAAAAAAUAGAUGAAUUAGUAUUUAGUAUUAUGCAUGAGUAUUGAUAUAUCACCGUGAAUUAAUUAAAAACAUUAAAAAAAAAAGUUCAUUUAAUUGCAAAGAAUGUUAGGUGUUUGAUCCGAAAAGGACAAUCUAGUCUUUGGCUGCCCGAAAAAGGAAACGUAAAAUCUUCUUAACUUUCCAUUAUUGAUUCGUUUGCUAGAAUUUGAAGGAAAGGGAAAGAAGUUAGUUAUGCAAGGAAGAAAUAAUUUAAUUUAAUAUUUGACUUUCUCAUUGAAAGAAAAUUCCAGAGAAAAAGAAAACGUUUCAAUCAAAUUCACAGGAUAAAAAAACUUAAGGUAUAUUAGGACAAGUUUAUCUUAGAAUUUACUUAUGAAACAGAUCUUAUAUUAGGAUUAUUUAUUUAGCUACAGAGUUUAUAACGGAAACUUUUUAAUAUAAUAUGGCUUUUCUCUUAUUUUUUAUGUGAAAAAAAAUCAUUAUUAGUAAUUAAAGAAAAGUUUUUAAGAAUGAAACCCACAUAUUUUUAACCUAUCCCUAACACACCUAUGAAGGGUUUGAACUCUCAUUGACUUUAAUACAUUCUAAGCAAAAUAAUUAUCACAUUGAACAUCCUUUAGUUUUUAUUUUGGUAACAAAACAUCCUUUAGUCAAGCAUUUUGCAUACAAAUUAUUUUUAACAUGCUAAUAUUUGAUCUUAAAAGGGCGAAAUUGAAAAUAAAAUUAAGGUUUAAGACAUCACUUGUUCGAAGUUCAACUUAAGGCAUACAUUCAUUAAAGAUAAAUUAAAAUUGAUACUUGCCUUUAUUUUAUUUAUGAGGUUGAUUGGUUUAACAUGGUUCUCCAACUUCACUAUUUAAUUUUUUUUCGAGAUAUAUAUAUAUAUAUAUAUAUAUAUAUAUAUAUAUAUAUAUAUAUCGUAUUUAAUUCUUUAUUACCCUCNNNNNNNNNNNNNNNNNNNNNNNNNNNNNNNNNNNNNNNNNNNNNNNNNNNNNNNNNNNNNNNNNNNNNNNNNNNNNNNNNNNNNNNNNNNNNNNNNNNNUAUAUAUAUAUAUAUAUAUAUAUAUAUAUAUAUAUAUAUAUAUAUAAAGAAUACAUAUUUUACUCUUAAUUAUUUAUAAUGUGAUGAUUAUAUUUAAAUAUUUAUAAUUAAUUUAUAUAAAUAUUUUAAAAUAUAUUUAUUUUAUUGAAUUAAAAAAAAUAAACGCAUGCACUCACGAGUUUUCUAUAUUAUCUAAUAGUCUAAUAUAGGAGGAGGAUUCUCAUCUUCUUAUUUAUAUAUAUAUAUAUAUAUAUAUAUAUAUAUUACAAUUAAUGUGUUAUUUAUAGUGUAAUAAUACUAUAAAAAAGUAUUUAAAUAAUCAGAUACACAAACAUCUCACGUCAUGUUUCCACCAGUAACAUAAUAAGAGAAAUUGAUAAAAGGAAAGUUAUUCUCGUAGAGAAAUAAAAUAAUUUUUUUUUAAAUAAUAGUAAUAAUAUAUUUUAAUACUAGUAAUAAUAUAUUUUAAUAACUAAUUAUAAAUGUAUAAUCCAUUAUAAUAUAGACUAAUGCUAAACUGCGUAUUAUGAUUAUCAAUUACUAGAUACAAUUUCAUAACUGUGUAUACGUUUUUUUUUAAUUUAAAUAAUAUAAUUAUAAAAGAAUAAUUUAAAAAUUAAGAAAAAAUGUAUGUUUAUAUUAUUUUAAGUGGAGAAACUAAAAAUAUAUCCUUUUUUAUUAAAGGAUAAACUUGUUAAAUAAACAGAUGACACUAAAGAGGUUACAAGAAUUAUCCUCAUUAUAUAAUGAUGACAUAAAUAAAAUAAAUAUAAUUAAAAAAUUAAAAAUAUAAUAAUUAUAAUUUAUAAUUAUUAAAAUAAAAUUAUGAAAACUGUUUUUGUCGGUUGACUCUGAUUACAAGUUCUAGCUCCGUCUGUCUCUGCUGGAAUCUACUAUUCCCUUUGUUACGUUAGAAUAUGUGGCUCCGUUGAACACGAAGAACCCUACCUGUUGAUUGCACUCCGACGAUCAAGUCAGUAAGGGCUUAUAAGAAUUAAGAAGUAACAAGUUUCAGUCUUAGAAACCGCAUCCCUUAAUGAUGAGAAUCAAAAAGAUGUUAUCAAUAGAAGAAAUGGACAAGGGCCAAAGCAUUUAAAGUUCUUAUUAUUAGUCUUUGCAAAAGAUAAGGCCCAAGCCCAAAGCCCAAGCCCAAGCCCAAGAAGGCCCAAGCCCAAGAAGCCCAAGUCCAAACCAUGAGGGGCAAGGCCAAGCAUUAAAUAAAAGAGCAUCAUUUGAAUGACUCUUGUAGGAGGUGUGGAUAUUAAAUAAAUAGGUGUGAAUGUAUUAGAGAGAGUCACUUUGUCCAUGUGACUUAGUAGGGGGUGUAGGUGUAGUUUUUAGGAGGUGUCAUAGUAGAAAAAGGUCACACCUCCCAUGUGACUUGUUUUUGGUGGGAAUUUCAAAUGAGUUUUAUUUGAAAUUUCCCACCUAUUUUUCAGCACCUCUAGGCUAUAAAUAAAGGUGCUUAGCUUGUACAAUUCAGAUUGGAAUUUUAUAGUAGAGAGACUAUACUCAAAUUUGGAGAGAAAUUGUGAGUCUUGAGUCUUCUUCUUCCUUUGCCUUAUCUUGUGAGCUAUGGUGAGCUUCAAGUGGCGGCACUCCAUCACUUAUCUUGGAUCAAGGAACCAAGUGGCGUGAAGUGUUCUUCCAAUUCUCAAAGUCCAGCAAACUCCUUCUAUAAGUGUUCUUCCUUCAUGUUCUUUCAAUUCCAUUCGGUAGAUUAGUUUUGUUUGUUGUUUCUUUUCAUUUUUACCGUUUGAAUUUCUGUUUUCCAGCUUUGCUUCUAGUUUCUGUUCGGUGCAGUAGUUUAUUAUUUCAAUUCUGUCCAGCUUUCAAUUCUUGUUCUUCAUUUCUUGUGUUUUGAUUCCAUUUGACAAUAUAUGGACUUCCAUAUGAGUCUUGGUUGGUGCUAAGUCUUGGUGAGUUCUUGAAUUAGAACAUUGAUCCAAUUCUAAAGUAAGGUGCCAUUUGUGACCAGCUCAAGUUGCUCCUAAGAAUGUCAAAGAAUCAUGUAUUCUUGUAGUUACAUUCACAUCACUUAACCUGGACUCUCACGUCCCUUUUAAUAGUUUACCUCUUGUGGCACCUUUCUAUCACGAGAAUAUAAUCUCAACUGAAAGCGUACUCAACAGGAGAAUAUUCGAGAAUAUUUUGUUCAAGGGCUCACUAUCACAGUGCAACAACAUAACGAAAUCUUUUCUCCAGGGAGUGCAUAAAAUAAUAACAAAAUAACCUCCAGGGUACCAACUCAUGUACUAGCAUCAGGGGUCAAUUUUGUUUACGUAGGCACCCACAGCGUGGCGCUACGCAUCAUAUAUGCAACCUAAACUUUAUGUGCCCUAGCACACACGCACACUAAGCGCAUCCCUAGGUCCAUAAAUACCCCUUACUCGCCACCUAUACCUUAUGCACGAAGGGUUACACUAAACAUACAAAAAGGACUAAUACAUGCACUCGAGCCCAAUCACAUGGCCCGCCAACUUGGUCCAAAAGCCGAGCUGACCUAUCUGUGGCAAGUGCUGAGGUCCGACCUCCGAGUAUUGAGUUCUGAGCACUUUGGUCCAAUACAAAAACAUUAUAAAAUAAAUACUUUUGUUAAUUUUAUAAUUAUAUAGUAUUUGGUGAUAAUUAUUAUUUAUUAUAAGUAUUUUUUAUAAGUAAUAAAGUUAAUAAAAUAAGUUAUCAUUAUAAGGAUAAAAUUUGAAAUAAACUGUGCAUAUUAAAAAUAGUUAUAAAGAAGAUUCCUCUUUAUUAAUAAAUAUAAUAUGCUUUCUGUUUUUGUUACUUAGUUUUAAAAAAGGUGUGAGAUCUAUUUUUUUUUAUUCCUUUGCUCACUCAUUUUAAUCAAACCAAAUAAUACACAUUUUUAAUGUUUUUUCUUUUCUUCAUUUUUCAUCGCUUCUCUCUUUCACAUGUGAAGCAGGAUAUUAAUGAUACCAAAAAGUUAAUUUAUUAGUCAUGUGUUAAUUUUUUGAGUAAAAAACAAAAAUUAAAGCAUUAUUAUCAAAAUUAUUAAAUUUGGUGUAAAAAUGCUCUUUACAUUUAUCUCAAUAAUUCAGUAAUGAUUUUAGUUUCAGUUAUGCGACUUUUUUUGAGAUUUCGUUUGUUGAGGGUUUUAUCUUUUAGAAAAAAACACAACUUUAAGACUGAGAAAUAUUCCUUCACUCCAACACAUUGUGAAUGUUGUCUUUGUCGAAAGUUUUUCUUCUCACUUUGAUUUUAGCUUUUCAAAGAGAAACUAUUUCGUCAAACUAUUCAUCCCAAGAAAAAAAAGAAUUACUUUCACCACCAUCGACAUUACACUUCAAAAACAGACAUUAGACUUCAAAAAGAGUGUGGCUGUACACUUACAAAACAUACCAUUUCAAGACUUUAAUACAAUUGCUUUUAACUAGGACAAUGAUCACAUGGUAGUUUGUUGUCCUCGUUUAACAAAGUGGACUAAAAUUAAAAAAUAAAUAUAAAAUACUCAUAGCUUUUUAUUGAAGGAAUUAAAUAUAUAAGAGCAACUUCAAGGACUUAAAAGAUUAAAGAAUGUGUAUUUACAAUAAGAGUUAACAAACAAUAAAAGUCUCAAUUUCUUUUUUUGAAAAGAGUCGAGAAGAUUCACCAAAACUUUAAGACAAUGUAUGAGUUUUUUUUUUAUAUACUAUUUUUUCAAGUUCAUUCUUAAUUAAAAUGGGACCAAACUCACUUGAAUUCUUAAAUCUCAUACUUGUACUGUCGUUUUUAUUACAAUGAGACACAAUUAUCUAAAAUCCUUGUUAGAAAAACUUUCAAUACAAGUAAUCUUAACAAUACAAGAUUCAAUCAUUUACGUGUUUGUUCACGUUCAUAACAUCAUUAGUUGUGUUCUUCUUAGAAAAAAUACUAGGAAGAUUCGUCACCAAUGCACCAUAAAUAUUCUAUAUAAAAAAAGUUUAAACAUUACCUGUAACCUUAAGUUGAUGGAUAUGCAGAUUUUUUUCUUAUAUACUAUUCUUCAAAUUUAUUCCUACUAAAUAUGUGACAAAACUUAUACUUAAAAUCCUAACACAAAGUUUGCCUGGAUGUGAAAAGAUAACGAAUUUUCAUGUUAUAACAGUAUAAGAGUAAAAAUAGUAACUAGGUAGUUGGUAGAAGAUUAUUAGUAGAAAUAUGGAAGCGCAUUAGUUUAAAAAUAGUUCAAAUAAUCUCUCAUACUCUGUUACAUUGCAGCAUUGGUUUGGUUCAAGAUUAUUAGUAGAGAUUUGGAAGAGGCUGAAUAAUGAAAAUGUAUAACUUAAUAUAGGAAGUUGUAGUAUAGUAGAAGAGAAAUGGACAUAAAUUUGUUGAUAUAUGUGUUAACUUAUCUUUCUAUAUCAGCGAAUUCUCCAUGUAAGUUAUUCUUCCAAUUCAUAUUUUUUAAUCAAUUAUUUUAAUAAUGAUUUUGGCUUCCAUAUUAACUAAAAUACUAACAAGAUAAAUAGUAUAUAAAAAAAUAAAUCUAUAAUUUUUUAAUCAAUUAUUUUAACAAUGAUUAUGAUAUUAACUAGAAUUAACAAAAUAAAUAGUAUAUAAAAAAGGAAAUCUCUAAUUUUUUUGUGUUAAUAUUUUAGGUUGAAGAGGUUGUUGAGUGUGAAGGCAGGACCAAUUGGGGUGAACUGACUAGACACCGUAUUUUAGUGAGUGUGCUUAAUUAUUGUGUCCCAUCUAUAAUAUUUAGUUAACAGAUUUUUGUGCUUGUAAUCAAAUUGUAACAAACAAAAUCUCCUUCAGAUUAAUUACUAGUAGAGAGAAGGACCGAAUGGCGAUUCUGAAACGGAGAUAGAAAGAUAGGGUUAAGGAGGGAUGGUGGAGGUGGAAGAGGGAAGAACAUUGGAGCAGAGCGACAGAGCAUAAGGAAGCUUCUCCGAAAAAAGAAAUCAUGGGUUGAAAACUCCUCUACGCUUUUCUUUUCAAACUUUCCAUACAAUCAUGGGGAGUAUGAUAUGUUUAGGGUCUUCCAGAAAUGGGCUAGAGUGAAAGAAGUCUUCAUCUCCAAGCGUCUAAAUAGGUGGGGAAGAAGGUUUGGAUUUGUGAGAUUUUUUCCUGUCCCAAAUGAGGGUAGACUUGAGAAGCAGUUAGAUCAAAUUUAUAUUGGCAAUCUAAAACUAUAUGUAAACCUUCCAAAAUAUCGGAGAGCAGAGGAUGAAGAUAAGCAUGAGAGGCCAAAUGCUUUUAGAACUGAAAAUUUUCGAGGGGUCAAUCCUCGGGGUUAGCUAAAGGAGAAAGAGGUCUGACGUGAAAAUACUAGGAGAACGUAUUAAAGGGGCAAUACCUCGAAAUCUAAACAGUCUUAUGUUGAAGCUGUUCGUCAAUCCUCCCAAGACCUAUGGAAAGGCCCUGUUUUCGAAACGACGUCAAACACUCCGUCAUGGCUGGUCCUUAGUGCAGUUGGAAGGAUGUCUUUCGAAGUCUCCCUUGUUACCUUGAGGGAAAAGUUUGUUAAAGGGGGUAUGAGCAGGGUUAAACUGAGAUUAUGGGAGAUAAUCUAGUCCUCCUAACACCAAAAGAAGGAGAAUGGUUGGAAGAAACCAUUAAGCUUAACAAUGAAUGGUUUGGUUCUUUGUUUGAAUCUAUUGAACCCUAGACUGAAUCAUAUACAACAGGCCAUAAAAUUGUUUGAGUUGUUGAAGAUGGUUGCUGCCCCUUCAAGAUUGUGUUUGAUGAAGACUUCUAUGUACAUUUCAUUUGUAUUUUGCUUUGCUUUAAGUGUGUCUUAGGUAGUGCUUAAAGGUUGUCUAAGAGUGGGCUUUUUGCUGAGUAACUCACCUCAUAACCACUGGCCAUGUGAUAAGAACAAGCAUAAGUUUUCUUAAACUGUUUUUCACAUGUUUUACAAAAAACACGUUUACUGCAUAAAAAUAAAUCUGUUCUUUUCUAAAUAAACAGAUUCAUUUUUUCACUGAUGCCUUGGCUAAGUCUUGUAAAAAUUAGAUUUUGUGCAUCAUGUAUUUUGACUAAGUCUUCUAUCUUUCAAAACGAUUGAGUUUUNNNNNNNNNNNNNNNNNNNNNNNNNNNNNNNNNNNNNNNNNNNNNNNNNNNNNNNNNNNNNNNNNNNNNNNNNNNNNNNNNNNNNNNNNNNNNNNNNNNNUCUGUUUUCGUUUUGAAAAAUAAAUCUGUUCAUCUGUAAAUGAAUAGAUUCUUUUUGUCUCUGGUGCCAUGUCAAGCUUAAACGUUUUUAGUUUUAUCUCAGCACCAGAAUGGUUGACUAAGUCUCCUCACUUAACAAAUUCUCUAACUGCUUUUGAAAAUAAAUCUGUUCGUUUUAUUUUCAAUCUGUUCAUUUUAUAACAGCUUUAACUGUUUUUCAAAAUUCUGUUAUAAGUUGGUUUUCUAUAAAAUGAAAACUUUUCUGAGUUUAAUAAUCGUUCAUACAUUUGCAAAAACAAGUUUUGACAGCAGAGAAUUAAGAGUUUACAAAGGAUUAGCAUUUGUUCUUCAAAGAUUUCAAAAAUCACAAAGUGCUUGUUCUUGGUUUGGUUCCAAAAGCUUGGUGUGAGGUGCAACUACUGUUCUAGCAAUCUUGCCUACUGGUUUAAGGCAGAUCUUUGUAUCCUCAAUCAGGUGUAGUCGUUUCACUUCUCAUUUCUUGUAAUAGUUUGGUUGAACACUCUUCUUGAUAGGUUUUCUUGAAGAGUGGGUGUGUGCUGAAAUAGGUUNNNNNNNNNNNNNNNNNNNNNNNNNNNNNNNNNNNNNNNNNNNNNNNNNNNNNNNNNNNNNNNNNNNNNNNNNNNNNNNNNNNNNNNNNNNNNNNNNNNNNNNNNNNNNNNNNNNNNNNNNNNNNNNNNNNNNNNNNNNNNNNNNNNNNNNNNNNNNNNNNNNNNNNNNNNNNNNNNNNNNNNNNNNNNNNNNNNNNNNNNNNNNNNNNNNNNNNNNNNNNNNNNNNNNNNNNNNNNNNNNNNNNNNNNNNNNNNNNNNNNNNNNNNNNNNNNNNNNNNNNNNUUUCAAUAAGAACACUGAUAAUCUGUUAAAGGCUAAGAAAACAGGUUGAGUGUGAUAGAUUGUCUCACUAAUUGUCAAGCCCUUAACUGAACCUAAAUCACAUUAAUUGGAAUUAAGGUUUGCUGUUUUCUGUGUUUCACUGUUUUUCAAUCUGAUAUCUGUGUGUGUGCAUCUGGAAAAUCUAUCUGCAUAAUCUUGUGAUUAACCUUGCUGUAUAAACGUUUUUCAAACAAAAACAGUGCUGAAAUAAAUCUGUUCAUUUUUACAUAAAUUGAUUUAUUUUCUGUAAAACUGUGUUAAACACUGUUUUUGCGAGAAAGUUUUAAAAGGUCAAUUCACCCCCCCUCUUGAACUUUGGCACUAUUAAACCCAACAUGGGUUAGGUGCUAUGGAUUACCGCUAACUUUGUGGAACAAAUACUGUUUUUCGAAAGUGGUUGGAGAAGUAGCGUCAUUGGUAGAAGUUGAUGAAUCAACCCUGUCGUGGGAAAAAUCUGGAGUACGCCCGUCUGCAGGUUAGAUUGCUUAAAUCUUGCAAAGCGGAAAUGAGGAAGGGUUUUAGGAUAAAUGGGCAUGUCUAUAACAUUACCAUCAUCGAGGAGGUUCUUAACCAAGAGAAAGGAGAAUGCACAUGCACUCAUUAUCACCUCGAUUCGUCUAAUAGCAUAUCGUCUUCGGAAACUGUAGUGGAGGAAACCUUCUUCUCCGCAAGGUCUAUAGAGGAAGGAGACGACUAUAGCCACAGUGGGAAGCAGUGGGACGCAGUUCCCAAGGGGGAAGAUGAGAUUCAGCCCCUCGUAAAGACAAAAUGGAAGCAUUUGGAGGAAAGGGCUCAGAGUGAUAGGGGGUGUCAGAAUAAAGGCGAAUUCUCUUUCACAAAUGAAGCAAAACAUGCGCAUGGAGUGUCUGAAGGAGGGACAACCUUACUAGCUAUAAACCAAGUCAAAGUUGCAUGUAAGAUGAUUCAACAAUCACUGGUUAACCUAAUGGAAGGGGUCCAGGUGUGCAAUUCCCUUCAUUUUGGGCCUAAGCAAGGUGCAACCCAAGUAGUGAAUGGAGGUGUGUGUAGUAAAGAAGUUAGUGAGGGGGGCCCAGUCAUAGGUUGUAAUGGGGAAAUUGUUGAACGGUGGUGUGCAACGGAACGCUCCGUAGCCAAGUCCUCUUCUCCGUUACUCAACAAACGAAUGAGGGAGACUGGUUAUGGUGAGCACCUUAGAGGAUUGAAAUUGCUGGAAUCCAACUCCGGCGUGUACCCAUGCUACGCAAUUCACUGAUGUAGUGAGGAAGAGGGCUCUUCGUUGGGCUGUGAAGAUCCACAAUCAAGUGACACCUCUAAGUGGCGUAAGGAAACGAAUGCAAUAGAGUUAAAUGCUGUGCACGAGGAACCAAUUCAAAUUGUAAUGAUCAGUAAAACAUCACCAGAAAUCCGAAGGCUGCGAGAUCAUGGAACGCCAAUCACUCAUCCGAAGUGGAGAUCAAACGGGGGUGUGGGAUCACUCCAUCAAGGGUUAAAUUCUUCUUCCAGGUUAAGUCACUGCUCCUUCGCAGAAUCGAACAAUGACAUUAAUCUGUGUAACAAUCGGCUUAAGCUAGAAGAUAAUGCCGCUGAAUCUGCCAGAAUAUGGGAUUGCAGUGUUCAGGGGUAGUGGGGAACGUGGUUGGAGAACUGGACCAUAUGGAGGUAAGGGACAAUGAUGUCAAAAAGGGGUCUAGGGGGAGUGUUUUAAAGAAGUUAUCAUGAUAAUUUUAAACCUCAACAUUAGAGGAUUGGGAGGAGGGGUGAAAGCACGUAUCUGAGUCAUAUUGUGGCUAAGGAGAAGGCAAAAUUUCUUUGUCUACAGGAAACGAAGACUUCCUCGUUUACGGACGUUAGAUGUUAUUCGUUAUGGGGAGAUAACAACAUCGGUUGGAUUCUUAAUGAAGGGAUCAAUGGGACAUGGAGCAUAGUAACAAUGUGGCAUAAAAAAGUUUUUUCUUAUGCAAACCAUGUAGUAGGACCCGGUUUUAUAGCAAUUAUGGGGUACCAUCUUAAAGCAAAUUGUCAAUGUGUGGUGGUGAAUGUAUAUGCAGCGUGCACCCUAAAGGACAAGAUCGUUUUGUGGGAAGCUUUGACGACUUUAAAGCAAUCAUAUUGUAAUUUGCCUUGAGUUUUAUGUGGUGACUUCAAUGUUGUAAGAAGGGAAGAUGAAAGGAAAGGGAUCAGAGGUUGUUCAAGCCAAAAGAAGGAGAUUGACGGUUUCAACAGGUUUAUUGAAAAUAAUGGUUUGUUGGACAUCCCUAUUGUUGGUAAGAAGUAUACAUGGUUCAAAGCUAAUGGCACAGCAAAUAGCAUAUUAGAUAGGUUCCUAGUGUCUAAAGAGUGGUUACAGUUAUGGCCCACGACUAAGCAGUAUGUACAGUCGAGAAUGGUAUCAGACCAUUGUGCUCUAGUAUUGAAAUUGUGCCCCAAGGAUUGGAGCCCUAAAUCGUUUAGAUCGUUUGAUGUGUGGCUUAAGGAACCAGGUUUUAAGGUUAUGGUAAAGGACAAGUGGGAAUCAUAUCAGGUGCAAGGUUAUAACAUGUCCAUUUUCAAAGAUAAGCUGAAACUCCUGAAGGCUGAUAUUAAAGAGUGGAAUAGAAAUAUCUUUGGUUGUGUGGAGUCCAACAAAAGACGUAUUUUGUCUUAAAUGGAGGCGCUAGAUGAUAAGGAUGACUGUGAAGGUUUAGAUGAUAAUGGGAGGAUGCGAAGGCUGGAAUUGCUUAGCCAACUAGGGUUGGUUGAAAAAAAGCUAGAUUCAAGUUACAGACAAAAAGCAAGAGCAAAUUGGAUCAAGCACAUGGAUAUGAAUUCUAACCUUUUCCACAAAGCAAUUAGAUGGAGAUGCCUUAAGAAUGAAGUCAAAGGUGUAGAGGUUGACUCUCAAUGGUGUGAGGAACCGCAAGUAGUCCGUAGGGAAGCAAAACUAAUGUUUGAAAAGAGGUUCAUGGCUACGCAGGACGUCGGUGUAAAUUUGGGUUCAGUGGAAUUUAAAUCCCUACCAUCGGAAAUGAGUAGGAAUAUGAUUGUUAGCUUCUCUGAGGAAGAAGUGAAGGAUGUUGUGUGGCAAUGUGAAAGGUCAAAGAGCCCAGGCCCGGAUGGUUUCAACUUCAAUUUCAUUAAGAGUUGUUGGGAUGUGAUCAAAUCGGAUGUCAUGGCAGUUGUGCAUUUCUUUCAUGAUACUGGGUCCUUCCCGAAAGGUAAGAAAAGAUGGCUUUAAACUAGAGGGGGGGUGAAUUGUUUAAAGAGGGUUUUCGCAAACUUUUCAAAACUAGAAUGAAUUUAUCUCAAGAAACAAUUGAUUCAGAAAUUCAGUUCGCCAAAACAGCAAGCAAAAGCUGUAGUACCAGAAAAACAAUCGGUUGUUUCGUGAAAACAAUCGGUUGUUUAUACCAGUAAACAACAAAAUAAACUGAAUUUAAAGAGUUAGAGAUAGAGAGAUUGUACACAGUUGUUUAUAUUGGUUCACUUCAAACCCAGAGCUACAUCCAGUCUUCUCAGAAACCCUGAGGAAAUCCACUAAGCAAUCACACCUUGAUCACUUACACAACAACCAAGAGAAUGACCUUGAACACCUCAAGAAACACACUCUCAUUGGUCAACACACCAACACUAAGAUUGUUGAUCUUGAUCCCCUCAAGAACACACAACCAAUCUCAGCAAACACAGAAACGAAUACUUGUUCAACAGAGUACAAGGAUUACACUUGUUACAGAAGAUGAUCUGAAAUCAAUACAAGCAGAAUCCUAUUCCAUACACUUUGAUCAAUCACAAACUCUUAGCAAUCUCAGCUCUUUGAAAAACUCAAAAACUAAAAACUUUUUUCAAAGAUUCUUAAAUCUCAAAUCUGUUUUUCUGAAUAUAUUCAAAGAUGUAGUUUGUUAUCAAAUCUUAACAAACUCUUAAAUUGCAUUAAAAGAUUGGUCAAAGCAUUUAAUGACUGGAGCGUAAGCAGUUAAAUCAUUUAAAGCUCAGUCAAACAGAAAAUAGUUUUUCUGUUAUGGUCCCAAAACAAACAAUUGGUUGUUUCCUCAAAUCAAUCGGUUGUUUUGGUACUUUAACAGUUCAACCAUUUAAAAACAGUUUUCAAUCUUUUCCUCAAAACACCUAAGUACAAACAAUCGGUUGUUUCGAUAAAACAAUCGGUUGUUUUAACUUAGUUUAAAAACAUUUUACUUUCACAAAGAUUGAGAAUGCUAAUACUUUAGAUUUAAUCAAAGGGUGGAUUAGAACAUAUAAACUACCCCAGAACUAAGCUAAACCAGCACAGCAACAUCAAGCACAACCAAGGCUUCAACAUCCUUCAAAGGAUUUGGAUUCUUCAAAACUUGAACACCACUUGGUUCAACAUUAUGGACAGUGUUGUUAUGGAAAACGAAAUUCUAGAGGAGAUUAGGAGGAAGACGAAGAGCGGGGUAUGUUUCAAGGUGGAUUUUGAAAGGGUGUAUGAUUCAGUAAGGUGGAGUUUUUCUGCUUGAUAUGUUGCGGAGGUUGGGUUUUCAUGACAAAUGAAUAUUAUGGGUUAAAGGGUGUAUGGUCUCGUCAUCGGUAUCUGUACUGGUCAACAGAAGCCCCACUGAGGAAUUCAAACCUUCUAGGGGGUUGAGACAGGGCGAUCCCUUGGCCCCUUUUCUGUUUUUAGUGGUUGCUGAAGGUCUUGCAGAGACGGUGAGACAAACUCUGAGGACGGAUGUACUUAGGGGUGUAAAGGUGGGAAUGAUAACACACUUUUCAUGUGUGAGGACUCUUUUGAUAAUAUCUUUGCAAUCAAGGCCAUACUCCGGUGUUUUGAACUUGCCUCAGGUUUGAAAGUCAACUUUCAUAAAUCAAAGUUGGCAGGAAUUAGUGUGGAUAGUUAUGCCAUGAGUACCUAUGCGAAGACAUUAAAUUGUAAUAUCAUGAGCCUUCCUUUCCAAUAUUUGGGGGUACAAGUGGGAGGAAACCCGAGGAAGAAACAGUUCUGGGAGCCGAUAAUAAGGAAAAUUGAAGCUAGACUUAGUUCAUGGAAAGGGAGAUUCCUCUCCAUGGCGGGUCAGAUUUGUCUGCUAAAAUCGGUGUUCACUGCCAUACCUUUGUUCUACCUUUCUAUCUUCAAAGCCCCUGCAACAGUGUGUAACAGAAUCAGGAGUAUUCAAAGAAAAUUUCUUUGGGACCGGGGAAGACAAAAUAAAUCGAUUUCUUGGGUUAGUUGGGACAAUGUGUGUAAGCCCCUACAAGAAGGAGGUUUGGGAGUAAAGGAGAUUAUGAGUUUUAACUCAGAUGUUUUGGUUAAGUGGAAAUGAUGGCUUAUGACUGGAGAGGGAGGAAAAUGGAAAGAAGUUAUUGUAUCUAAAUACGGUACAACAUCAGACAAAAGUCAGGUUAAGUUGAAGUACCAAUCUAGGUGGUGGAGGGAUCUAGUUAAGAUAUGUGACGAUGGGAAUGAAAAAUGAUGGUUCCAAAAGGCUUUUGAGUGUAAAGUAGACAACGUGAUCACAGUGCGGUUCAGGGAGGACGUGUGGUUACAAACCACUACUCUAAAAACAUUGUACCCUAGACUCUACUCCUUGUCUUGUGAUAAAGGUAAGACGGUGAGGGAGGUAGGAAGAUGGGAAGAGGAUAAAUGGUGGUGGGGUUUGAAUUGGAGAAGGGAUAGGUUUGAAUGGGAGUCUAAUUUGGAGUCAGAGCUGCUAUCUAUACUGAGUAUGGCGACUAUGUGCAAGGAAGCCCAGGACCGUCUUAUUUGGAGAGGGGACCCGAAAGGUAUGUUUACGGUUAAAUCAGCCUAUUCUAUUAUGGCCAACCAUGUUGAUACAAGGGGAGAUGUGUUUAGUAGUUUAUGGCAAGCAAAAGCCAAACCUAAAGUACUUACCACCGCUUGGAGAAUCCUUCUGUACAAAGUUCCAACUAGAGCUAAUCUCAUAAAAAGGGGAGUGAUUGUGAAUUUGUCUAUGUGUCUGUUAUGUAAUUUGUCUGAAGAAACUUCUCAACAUCUCUUCCUUGAUUGUGUAUUCGCACAAUGUGUCUGGUCAAAGUGCUACCGUUGGAUUGGUGUUUUGGGGGCCCAAAACAAGGGUAUUAAAAAUCACUUGAUGAACUUCUACUUAAUUCACCUUUCUAAUAAACAAAACCAGGUGUGGGUAGGCUUGUGGGCGACAAUUGUUAGUUGUAUUUGGGAUCAAAGGAACUUGGUAGUUUUCGAGGAAGGGGUCUCUGAUGAAGAUGAGAUUUUUUAGAAUGCUCAACUACAGUCAUGGUUGUGGUUAAAACACAAGGUAGUUGGUUUCUCCUAUGCUUUCUCUGACUGGCUUUUGAACCCUAACCAGUGCCUUCUAGCAGUGGUUUGAGUGUGCUAAUUCCUGGGCAGUGAAUGUAGUUCCUCUCAAGGAGUACUUGGAAAUGGUCUAGCUGUUAUGAUGUGGUUUUUCUGUCAAGGGAAUUGCUGCAGAAAUAGAGCUGAGAACAUCGGGGAAGUAGGCUUAAUGCUAGCUGAAGUUGUAGAAGUUAGGGGGGCAGCAAUUUAUCUCUGACAUUUAAAUUCUAGAAGUAAAGUUGCAGUAGUGUGUAGUGCAGUUGGAAGCAGAUUGUGAGGAGGGGUUAGCAGGGUGUUAGGACAAUAAGCAUAAGGUUGCUGGAGUAUGGUCUUAACAGUAAUGAAAAGUGGAGAUGGUACAAGGUUUUGGAGUUAGUAAGAGGGACUGUAGUGGUAAAUGAUCAAUCUAUCAUUUUGGCUGCUGAAUUAGUGUGCAACAGGGGCUUCUUCCUUAGAGUUUUUUUAUCAGAGCAAGCAUUACCCACAGAAGCAUCCCUUCCUAAGUGCUAAAACCUGGUAAACCUUAUAAGUACUGAUUAUUGCAUAGUGCUUUCGAAAGUCAGGCAGUUUGGUAAUCUCAAUAGGUUGCUGCAUCCAGUUUUUCUGGUUUUUAGUGUUGUUUUCUGUUAUGCUUGGUUCCCUUAGAAUGUUUUUUUGGUUUAACAGGUUUUAUAUACCCUGAAAAUUGCUUCAGGGUUGUUAGUUUGGUUUGUUGUUCAACACAUGAGGUUGUAGCCCUCUAGGCUUUUUGUAUACGGGUUGGGAUACCCCUGAAGUAUCCCUGAAAUUUAUUUUAUUCAUUGUUGAGCAAAAAAAAAAAGAAUGAAAACCUAAUUAGUUGCCCGUGGACGUAGGUUGCAGAUUGGCGAUCGAACCACGCUAAAUCAUGUAUUGUUAUUUUCUCCAAUUGAUUCGUAAUUGUUUGUGUUGUUUCCUCGUGCGUUUUUUUCCAUCAAAGUUCUUAUUUUUUUAUAUGGUUUGUUUAUAAUUUAUUAGUUUUCAAUUUUUUUAAAAACUUAAUAAAUUGAUUUUCUUUUCUAGACUCCUAAAUAAGAUAAUUAUAGCUUGAUAUUUGGCAUUACUAUAGAAUCAUGUUGUAAUCCUUUUCACAAAUAUAGUUUACCUAUACAACACGGAAAAUAGUAAUUUUGAGACGAUUGUGUGAUUAUAUAUCCAUUAGUUUUGAACUUUAGUAGUUAAUAUUUUUACUAAAUUCUAUUGAAUUCUUAAAGGGUCCAAAUAAAACUAAUUCCCCGUAGACAAUGAUUUUACUUUAGGUUUAGGAUUUGUAAUUUAGGUUUAGGAUUUGUUAACUGAUGAUUUUGGCUAAGUUUUAAAAAACACUCCAAAUUGCAACUUGAGAGUGUAUAUAAAUAAAGUUAUGGUUUUAUAUCCCCGGAAAUAUAAUUUACUUAUAAAGUAAUAUUUUUUAAGAAAUUACAACAAAAUGACAAUAAUUUUAACUUAAUGAACAAGGGUGUGAGCAACCAUUGUGGUCUCUUUCUCCAGAUGGGACAAAUUAUUGGCUUCCUCAAGAAUACACUCCAUUUUAAGGUAAUAAUUUGUAUGUUGAAUAUAACAUUGAAACCUAUUUAUCAUAUUAUGAACACAAUUUUAAGUAACUUUUUACCUUUUCCCGGAUUAAAGUUUCCAAAAUUUUAAGGAAUAAAGUUUUUAUAUCAGGGAAAUACGAAUAAGAUGAAUAAUAAAAUUUUGUGGUGUGAAAUCUUUUAUAUAAGUUUCCAAAAUUAUAUAAGUUUUUAUAGAAAUUGGUGAAUGUGGUAUGAAGCCUUUCUUGCCUCUUGCUCAUAAGUUGCCAAAAUGACUUGUGGUUGGAAGCCAUGCAAAUAAUUUAGGAUGUUAGUGGCUUCACAAUAGAAUGGCUAAUCUUUUCUUUCUUUCUUAAACUCCCGUCUCUUAUUAUUUUCCUAAACCAUUUUCUGUAUCUCUAUCGAGUAGAAAUACUAAAAAAUAUUAUUAAGUAGAAAUUAAUUUUAAAGAUAAAAAUAAUUAGUUGUAUAUUAAUUAAAUUAAAUAGUAUUUUAGAGAUUAAAAAAAUGACUGGUAUAAGUUUCUAAUAAAUAGUUUCUAAAUUAGUAUAUAAUUAACUACCAAAUUUGUAACAUGAAAAUUUUUAUAAAAAAAAACUACCAAAUUUUAGUUUCCAACUUUAUAAUUUAGAAACUAUUUAUCAAUAAAAACUAGUUUAAAUAUAAUAAAUUAUUUAGUCUUUAAAAUAAUAUCUAAUUUAGACAAUAUAUAAUUAAUUAUUUUUUUAUUCUAAAAUUAGUUUUUAUUUAAUAUUUUUCUAAUAGUAAAAAGUAUGCUAUUGUUUAUUUUAUUUUAUUAAAUUUCAACAUUUUUUAAUUAUCACAACUCACAUCUUGAAAAAAGCUGACAAAAACAGGGGAGAUUAAGUUACUAUUAGAUUAACUUUUAAGAUGAUUAUUCUUCAUUGUUAUUUUUUUUUAUCUUCUUUUGAUUCAAUGAUUUUAAUGAGUAAUUCUUUUUUAUAUUGUUAGACUUACAAGAAAAUAUAAUAUAAUACAAGGAUGUAGAGUAACUAUUUUAAAGUUACUCUUAUACUAAUUUUUAGCCUUUUUUCCACAAUUUGUAAAUGUGGAAAAAUUACUCAAAAUAUAAUUUUAAUAUUUCUAAUAAGUAAAUCACAUUUAAUAUUUUUCUUAAAGUUGUACAAAAAAAUUUCGAUUUUUUCAAAAUGGACAAUUUUUUUUCCAGAAAUGAGUAAAUCACCAACUUUUUUAUCAAAGAGAAAUCACCAAUCAUACCUACGAUUUAAAAAAAAAUCAUAUAUGCAAAAUACGAUUUCAAUAAAAAAUCUUAUUUCAUAUAUACCUUUUGUAAUAUUAUAAUAAUAUAUAAACUUAAAAAAAUAAUAACUUGAAUUCGUUUAUUUCAUAUGUUUAUAAUAUUUCAAUAUAUAAUAAUUUUAAUAAACAUUUUUCAAUAUUUAAAAUUGAAAAAAAUUAAAAUAAUAGAAAAUUAGAUAAGUUUAAUUUACAAUUAUAACUUUUUUAUAAAUAUAAUUAAAAAAAAUUAUUUUUUUAUAAAAUAUUUUUUUAACUAAAUAAAUUUUUAUAAAAUAGUUUUUUAUUAUACGUUAAAGUUAUUUUGAAUUCUUAAUAAAAUUAAUAAUAUAAUAUUUCAAUAAUAAAAAAUUCUUAAUAUUAAUUCAUUACCACAAUUAUGAAAAACCACUUUAUAUCCCAACAAAAGUUAUUUGUUAGAUAGCCUAUGUGAUGCCGAUAAUAAAAAAAAAGAUGGCCCAUCUGAUACAUGGUUUUCUAAAAGGCUUUGCAAAUUUUUUUUAUAAAUUCUAUUUAACCUGCCUUCCAAAACUAACUUGUUACUUAAAUCAAAUCUCUAUAAGAUUCAUCUAGCAAAAAACAGAUACUUAAAAUCUCUUGAUUAUUACAUUCUAAAAUAUAUAAAUUAUUAAUUCACUUUUUUUAAAAUAAAAACUUUCAUGUUAAGCAUCAAUAUGCAACUUAACAUCUCAGUUAUGCUGACAUAUCAAGUAACAACAAUCAUUUGUCAUCGCAUGAAAAAAAUAUUAUUAAAAAAUAAAAAAAUAAAAAAAAUAUGGGGGAUUAGACCAAAACUCAUAUGUUAACAAAAACAAUACAUAGGUAAACUAUACCUAUUCAUAAAGAAUUCUAAGAACAGACUAGUCUAUUAUACCAAUGAAAAGAUUCUUUAUGAAUAAAUCCUAAAUUAGCCAACUUAUCAGCACACACAUUCCCUUCAUGAAAAAUAUGAGUAACCCUAAACCUGAUUUUCCCACAAUAAUUAAGAUAAGUAUUCCAUCGAUUACGAAGCAUCCAAGGAACAUUAGUCCUAGCAGUAAACGUAGCACAAACCAAAGUAGAAUCACAUUCCAACCAUACAUUAGUAAACCCCAUCUUUUGAGUUUCCUCUAUAGCAUGUAUAACUCGAUAAAACUCAGCAACCAAAGCAGACUGAGCUUCAAGAAACACAAAGAAAGAUCCAAUAAAUUCCCCUAUACUCCCACGGAAAAUACAUUCACAAGUAGCAAGACCACAAUAUGCCCUAGCAACCCCAUCAAUGUUAAUUUUCACCCAGCCUGGUGAAGGAAACUCCCAUCUAACAGGAAGAUGACAAAGAACUUUACCAGUACGAGUAUUAAUACAAAAAAACUUGAUCACAUUGAAAUCCAACAUAUCAUUCUUUAUUGAAGCUUUAGACGACUUACCCACUAGACGAGUUAAAUCUUUAAUAACUGAAAUAGCCGUAGAAACCUCAAUCUUAUCUUCAAAACGAGCAUAAUUUCUCAUACGCCAUAUCAUCCAAUUAGAAAAAGUUAUCACAACAAGCUUAAUCAAUUUAACCAAAGGAUUACCAUCACUCUUAAUAAAAGAGAGAAGAUCAUCCUUAUUAGAGAAAUGAGAAGUAGGAAAAAUCUGUCGAACCCAACUUCAAAUAUGCAAAGCAUUAGAACAUUCAAAAAAUAAAUGUUGAAUAGAUUCCUCGUACUUUUCACAAAGCGUACACAUAGAACAAAUAUGCAAACCUUUAUUUUGAAUACGCUGAUCUGUAGGAAACCGUCAGUGAAAAACUUUCUAAAGGACAAGAGUUUUGGAAGACAAAAGAUAUGAAGACCAAAUAAAUUUACCCCAACCAUAGGGAACUCCUGGAUCCAAGAAAAAAGUCCUAGCUGAUUUAAGAGUGAAACGACCAGACUCAUCUAGAAUCCAAUUAGGAAUAUCCUGUUCCACCCUAACCAUGAUAUGACUAAAAAGAUGUGGCAUCUACUGUAAAGAAAAUGGAAUAUUCCAAUCACCACAUGAUGGAAGAGGCCCCAACAACAAUCCUAUCAAAGGCCACCAAAAUGCUACAUUUAAGGCAAUCACUAGAGUCAUAGUCAAAGAGGGGUCAAGGGGACAUUUUUACAUGUCAUAGACUCUAGUGUGAGAUAGUUCUUCUUCCUUUUCUAGUUAAAGUAGCAUAGUUUAAAUCUUUUUGUAAAUGUGAUGAAACAUACCUAAUGGGCAUAAAUUCUAGACCAACCACACAAGGAAUACUUCUGGAAUUUACCUCCAUUUAGGCGCCACCUCACCCAUGUGCCAUGUGCUCCAUGUGCUUCCAUGUGCUAACACUUGCACGUAAUUUGGCUAGCAUUUCAUUUGUAUUUGGCUCUUCAAAUUCCAGCCCUCCAAUCCUAUAUAAGGAGGUGCUUGGCUCUCAUUUUGUAAGAUUAAAUUGAGUAUUGUUAUGCUGCCAAACUUGAGCCAUACUUUACACCCUUGCCUAGAAUUUAGGUCUUAAUCUUCAAUCCUUUCACCUUCCAAAGGGGCUGGCCAAACCUCCCUAAAUUCCUACUCUUCAUGCACCUCCAAGGCAGCUACACCUCCUAGGAGGGCCUUGUUCCAUCAACAAACCACAAAGCUUCCACAAACCACCAAAAAACCACAAAAGAGAAGAGCUCAAUGCCAUCACCACAUGUCCAAAACUGAGAGAUUGUAUUCGGAAUGCUAGCACUAUCAGAUAAGGCUACAAUAUUUGUUAAAGAAUUAGUACCAUACUAUUUAUCAUUCCAAAAAUUAAUAAAAGAACCUGUACCAACAGUCUAAGAAGUAUAAUCAAGUAUAGUAGAAUAAAACUGUUUAAUUCCAGGGCAAAGAGAUGAGGAUCUAUAAACCAUUCGAAAUUCGUAUUUUGAUUUAAGAACCCUGACUUUUAAGGGCAAAGACCAAGGCCUGUUGCUAUAAGCAAAAUUCCAAGCAAGCUUAAGAAGAUAUGCAUUAUUUUCAUGGUGAAGGUUAAUAAUCUUCAAACCUCCAUUCUCAAGGGGAGAACAAAUUGUAGCCCAAUUAACAAUAGUUAUACCUUUUUACAUAAUAUCACCAGUCCAAAUAAAAUUUCGACACUAUUGCUCAACUUGCUUAAGAAGAGAGACAAACCAUUUAUACAAAUUAAAACUAUAAGCUAGAAGACUCGUAAUCACUGUAUUGACCAACUGAACCCGACCCAUCAUUGUAAGAGAUUUACUUUUCCAAGAAGCAAGCUUUAAUUUGACUUUAUCAGCCAAAGGUUGAAGAAAACGACCCCUUGGAGUACCAACAAAGAUAGACACUCCUAAAUAAGUGAAAGGAAAACAACCAUGACUACAAGAAAAAAUACGCUGAAUUUUGGUGACAAAUCUUACAGAAUUAUUCAUGGUGAAAAAACUACCCUUAGAAUUAUUAACAUAUUUACCUGAGAAAUCACCAUAUGUUUUAAAAAAAUACUCAAAUUUCUAAAGGUGUGUUUGUUUCCAAGUAUGAAGAGGGAGGAGGGAGGAGGGAGUAAGUGUUUUUUGUGUCUGUUUCAAUAGUUUUGAGGGUGGGGAGUGGAUGGGGGAGAUGGGGGAGGUCUUUUUUCAUUCUGGACAAAAUGAAGAGAUUUGUGGGAAUUUAUGUAGGAUUGUUGUAUUUUACCCAAAUAUCCUUGUGCAUACAUUUUAUUACAAUAUACAAAAUUAAAUAUUACAUAAAUUUAUUUAUAAUUUCAAAAAUAUUUAAUUAUACUAUUAAUAACAACAUAGAAUUAUAAAUAAUGAAAAUAAAAAAAUAAAAAAUAAAAUUAUAAUAUCAACAAAAUAUAUAUAAUUAUAUAAAAUAACAAAUGAAUAUAAUAAUAAAUAUUAUUUUCAUAAAUUUUAAUAUAUUUAAUAAAUUUAUUUCAAUUUAACACAAAAAUAUUUCCUAUUAUAUUUUUUAAUUUUUUAUCAAAAAAUAUAAGUAAUUAUGGAUAUUUUAUAUUAGAAAAAUUUAAUUAAUUCAAACCUACAAAAAAAAUCAUAAUUCAUUACUCAAAUAGUUUUUAAUAACAAGGAUAAAUUUGUAAACUUACAAUAAAUCAUCCUCACAAAUUCACUCUAUCAUCCCUCAAUCCAAACAACCUCACAUAUCCUCAUACAUCUUCUCUAAUCCUCCCAAAUCCACCCUCUCCCCUCCCCACAAAUUCACUCCUUAAUCCAAACAUAGCAUAAGAGACUUUUUAUCUGCCCUACACAAAAGAAAAAUGUCAUCCGCAUAUAAAUAUGAGAGGGAGUGAAAAAACCUUGUGGACUAGCCAUAUGUAAUAUCUUCUUAUCAUUCACAAGCUUUGAGAGACCUCUACUAAGAACUUCCUCUGCAAGAUAGAAAAUAGAGGAGACAAAUGAUCACCUUGUCUAACACCUCUACUACAAGGAAAAAAAAUCACCAAACUGGUAUUUAUUCUUAUAGAAAACAUAGUUGAACGGAGAAUAGUACUAAUCCAACCGACAAACGAGGGGUGAAAACCAAAGCGUGACAAAACUAAUAGUAAAAACCUCCAACUCAGAGUGUCAAAGGCUUUGUGAAUAUCAACUUUGUAAGCCACAUUAGCUCCGUGAACCUUUUUAGAAAGCAAGUUAAUAGCUUCAGAAGCAAUACCUAUACAAUCCUAAAUUUGUCUGCCCUGCACAAACCCAUACUGAUUAGGAGAAAUAAUUCUGGUAGCCACAAGAGCAAGCCGAUCGGCCAAAAUCUUGGAAAUAAUCUUAAAUUUAAAUUUGGCAACAACAAUUGGCAUGUAAUCUUUAAUGGAUUUAACACCUUGAAUCUUAGAAAUAAGAGAUACCACACUACUGUUCAUUCUAGGAAGAACCCAGUUUUGUUUAAAAAAUUGUUGGACAACAUUGCAAGCAUCUGUCCCAAUAAUUUCCCAACAAGAAUGAUAGAAAACACCACCAAAACCAUCAGGACCAGGAGCACUAUUAUCAUUAAGGUUAAAAAUAACAUUUUUGAUUUCCAAAAAAUCAGGACAUUAAUCAACAUCAUAUUCUCCUCAAAGGAAACCAACUCAGGAAUAUAACUACCAAUAAAAUCUUCCAUAUUGCCUGUAUCCUGAUCUUGGGAAAUGGACUCAGCAUAAAGAGUUUUAUAAAAGUCCAAAAUAUGUUCCUCAAUGAGUUUAGGAUCCCCAAUAACAACAGAUGAUGAACAUUCAAACCAAGUUCAGAAUGAUGAUGUUGGCACAGAGCAGAACAAAAUCACAAGAGGAGAUUGAUACUUAUCAUGCACAAUGAACAAAAAACUGGUUUUAUCUUUUUGUUUAACUUUACUUUCAUUUUAAUUUAGUAAGUUGACUUUAGCAGUUUAGUUUAAUAUUUCUUACUUUAGCUUUUGUUGAUGGCAAGCUUAAGUUAGUAUAGUGGUUGAUGUUUGCAUAUUUUGUGAAGUGAAAUCUUGUAUAUAUAUAGAUGAUGGUAUAAUUGUUUUUUGGAAAAAGAAAUCAAACCAUAGUUCUAAAUUAGAACAACCAAAUGGAUUGAUCAGGGACUUAAUUUGAAAAAAGAAUUUGUGGUUGGAACCAUCACUCAAAUUGAGAAAGGAUAGUAAUGUGUAAAAGUUGGAACAAUGUAAACAAUUGAAAGCAAUGACUGAGAACAAAUGAGGAAUUGAAAUUAGCCAACCAAGUGAGAGUGUGAAACCUUUAAACAGUUUGAGAGACUUUCACUAGUGAAGAGUUAAUUGAGGUUGCCUAAUUUUCUAGUCAAUUUACAUCACAAAAUCAAAUAUUGAGAUGAUUGAGGCAUGUUUAAUAAAGUUGGAGGUGAGAAAACUUAAAGCCAAACAUCUAACUUUUGCAAUAUAUGAUGAAAUGUGCAGAAAAAUAACCCUUUUUUUAGCCAAAUUUGUUUUAUUGCACCCUAGCUUCUGAUAUACAUAUAUUGUCCUACCUUGUGGUAUGCUAACAAAAGGAGAGCAUAGGUGCAAUUCAAAUUUCUAUAAUUAAAAGAAUUGGGUUUGGUGUGGCUGUUGGGAUUUUGAGAAUGAAAAAAAAAAGAGAAAAAAAAGGGAAUGACAAAAUUAUCCAAAUUCUCAUUCUCUUUUCUAAAAAAAAGAAAAAAAAAGAAAAGGGGAUUACAAGAAUAUAAAAAGAAGCAAUGUGAAUGAAUUUUAUGGAAGGGAUAAUGGAUAGCACAAUUAGAAAGUGAAUUGCAAAUAUGCUAAUCUUUUGUUAAGUGUGCAUUAUGUUAUCCUGGAAAAACCAAAUUUUCUUUGUAACCCAACCUCAUUACAACCUGAAAAAGACCUCAAGUUCUAUGUUUGUGAAAGUGUUUGUAAUCAACUGGAAAUGAAGGGCAACCUUAAAUUAACUUGGAAUUCAGUGAAAAAAAAAAGAGGGAAAACACUCACCAGUGAGAAAUGAAGAGAGAAAUUCCUUAGUUUGAUUCUUAGUGAAGAGUAACAAUUGUUUACCUUGGAAAUUGAAUACAUUCUUAUCCUGUCUUGGUUUGAAUUGAUAGGAAACACCAUAACUUUUUGUUGAAUUAUCUUGUGCUCUUUCCAUGAAGUUGUUCUGAUAUUAAACUAUAGAUUUGAUUUCUAAGGAUUUUGGGGAAGAAUGAACUCAUUUUUUGGGAUUCAAUUACUUUGCUUGAGGACAAGCAAGAUUCUAGGUUGGGGGGAAUUUGAUAAGUGUCAAUGUGUAGUUUUUAUGAUUGAGAAAAUUGAACACUUUGGAACUUAAUUGUUGCUUAAUGUAAGAAAAUUAUCCUAAUCUAAGAAUUAUUGAAUCUGAUUAUAUAUUUUUUGAACCAAGAAACAAAUGAAGAAAUUUAAUCUCAAUUUUUGUGUAAAUUGCAGAUGAAUAUGAAACAUUGAAAGAGUGUAUUCAAGCUGGCAUUGAAAGAAAAAAAAGAGUAAAAACUUAAUUGGAUCACAAGAAGAUUUAGCUCAAGCUAGAGGAUUUAGCUCAAGCUAAAACUGUCCAGAGUUGAUUAAAGGUGCAGUACAAUUCUAGCCCAUACUAGAAUUGCUAGCUCAAGCUAAAACUGUCCAGAGUUGAUUAAAGGUGCAGUACUGAUUUAGCUCAGGCUAGAAUCGCUAGCUCAAGCUAAAAAGGCACCGAAAGAUCUAGCUUAAGCUAAAACGGACUAGCUUGAGCUAAAGUUGAUUAUAUAAAUUUUGAAACAUAACUCAAAACCAGCGGUGGGAAACAGAUUGGGUUUUUAUAGAGAGAGACUAGUGAGAGAAAGAGAAGAAACCUCUGUUCUUAGGAGAAGAACUUGCUCAGAUAAGCCCUUCUUAUGCAAUCCAGAUCAAGAAUGAAGAUUGGAGGAGCUGUCAUGAGUGGCUAAGUUCUUUCUAACUUGGGAUUGAAUGUAAUUUACCUUGAUCAAAUGUAUUCUUGGUGAUAUAUAUAUAUAUAUAUAUAUAUAUAAUUCUCUUUUCUACUUGUUCUUGGUAUUUUCGUUUUAUGCUUAUUGCUUGAUUCUGUCUGAUCAAUAGAGUCUUGAUUUUGAUCCUUAAAUUUAACUGGAAAGUACCUUUAAGGAUUUGAAAUAAACGAAAAUACUUGAUAACUUGUAAUGUUAGGAAUAGAUUCCAGGUUAUUGAUUGCAUUAUAAUUUUGUUCCUAAAGCUGGAUGAUUUGUUAAAUAUCUGAGGAAUCAGUGUUUGAGAAAUUAUCUUAUGAAUUUCAUCUGUGAGGAAUCAAGAUGAAUGACUUUAAAUUAAGCAUCAAGAAUAAGUAGUUUUGAGUAAAAGGCAUACAAGAAAGCUCAUUAGAAUUAAUUCAAUCAAGGAAUUCAUUACAAGAAACCUGAUUAGGAGUCACCCCUUUUAUAGUCAUCUACCGAGAACACAACAUUAAAAUCUCCCAUAAUACACCAAGGCCCUAUGAAGGAACUAAGCUCCCUCCACAAAAAUUGUCUAGCCACGUAUGUGUUGGCACCAUAAACACCUGCAAAGCUAAAACAUUUAUCAUGCAAAUUGCAAGUUACAGAAAUAAACUAUUCAUUUACCAAGAAAUUUCGGACCAGAUUAGGAACCGACAAACACCAAAGCUUAGCAACUUUAUUAACAAUAGGACAUGUAGCCACCAAAUGCAUAUUAACAGAUUUGAAAAGGACUUCAAAAGCAUUAGUGUACGACACCAUAUGUUUAGCAAGAAAAACCAAAAGGGUUUUAUGUAGUUUAAGUAAACUAAUCAACAUCUCCACAGUUUUGUGGUUUCCCAGUCCUCUAACAUUCCAAAAAAAUGAAGAGAUCUUCAUUGCGACGUUGUGGAGAGAACUGUCUUAGCAGUUUUUUUGGAUUUACCAGUCCCCUUAGGUGGUCUCCCUGGUUUUCUUUUAGUGCUAAUUAUUUCCUCCCCAAUAUCAUUGGCAUCCUCCUCCAUCUCAUUAGGAUGAACCCAAAAUUUUGAAACAACAUUUGUAGUUUCCAAACCAUCAAGAGAGGAAAAGUGAUUUUGCAAGACCAACGAUAGUGCUUUAACAUCCCCAAGAGGCUUAGCCUUCCGAGGGGAGGUAUGAGGUGAUGAAGGUGGUACAAUUACAAUAGCAGAGACCUCCAAAUGAUGACCAUCAAUUAGAUUUGUAGUUGGUAUGUUAGAACCUGCAGGUGAUUUAUCCCUCCAAGAAGAGGUAGGAACAACCACAGGAGCAGAGACCUCCACAUGAUGAUCAUCAAUAGAAGUUGUAACAAUAUAAGGAUCACCUCCCACAUUCGUAGAUUCCAAACCCUCGAGAGAGGAAAAAUGAUUUUGCAGGACCAACGAUGGGGGUGGUACAAUCAUAAUUGUAGAGAUCUCCACGUGAUGACCAUCAGUUGGAGUAUUGAUUGGUGUUGUAGAAUCUGCAGGUGAUUUAGCCCUCCGAGGAGAGGUGGGAUGCAACGAAGAUGGUACCGCUACAAGAGCCCGAACCUCCACAUGAUGAUCCUCAAUAGGCGCAUGAGACUCUGAGCCCUUCGCUUGAAUAAUAGUAGGUAGCAUCCCUUGAUCUGGGAAAUCUGAAGUGUGAGGGGACAACUCCUUCCUGGAUUCAUGAUCCGAGGCAUCCUCAAGAGGAGACAUAUCAGCAAAAUAAUCUUCCACUCCGCCUGGUUUAUCAGAAGCAAUGUGGCCCAAGGGGGACCCUGCAUUAGCCCCGCCUGGAACAUCAAUGUUCAAUGUGAAACUUUCUUCCGAUACUCUUUCCGUUGUUUAGGAGCCGCGGUCCUCUCCAAAUUCCGUUCAUCAAAAAUUUUCUUCUUAGAAGGUUUAUGUUGAGGCCCAGAAACACUACCCUGAGCAUGAACCACCCAACACUUAGCAAGCUCAUCCCCUAUCAUCUUACAAUGAGAGCAAAAAGGAGGAAGCCAUUCAUAUUUCAUACCAGCUACAAAAGUAUAGUUUGGACGUUCAACCUAGAUGUGAUCGGGAAGAAUGGAAAACAUAUCAAUAUCCACCAGGACUCUAGCAAAUAUACCCCUAUUCUUUCUCAUAGUACUCUCAUCCAAAGACAAAGGAGUACCAAGACCUCUGAUGAUGGAAAAAAUCGCCCUUGGUCUCCAAUACUCCAAAGGCAAUUUGUAGAUUUGAAUCCAGGUCUGAGUUUUGGUACUCUUCAUAGUAGAUGGAACAAAUUCUAUUGUCCAGGCAAACAAUCUCAAGAAACCCGGAGAUAACUUUAAGGAACCCAUUCUGAGGGCCCAUCGCAUGUCUUCUAAAGAAGCGAACUCAAACCCAUAAAAACCCUUUCCAAAAGGGAUUUCUUUCCACAGUCCAAGAGCCUUCCACAUCGGUUGCAACUUUUUAGUUAAAUCCAGGUGUGUGUGAGGUUUAUCUCCCUUAGAAAGAAUAACUUGACCAUGUAGAUGGGUCUUGCAAUCCUUAAGUUCAGCCAAAUAAUCUGCCUCAUCGAUCCGGACCAUAAUCAUGUCUCCCUUAAUAUAAGGAGUAGGUAACUCGAACAAAGGAAUAGUUCCCAAAGCAAAAGUUUUCCUUUGGCCAGGCUUAGCAUACACAUUCUUCCCAAAAGAUACGUCACAAUUCCAUGGGAUAAGGAAGCCUUAGAACCCUCCACCAUUUCCAACAACUAACAAGUUACCACCAUGAACCGCAUCGUGCACACACCGCACCACCGUCGCACACCAACCACACCAGAACGUCGCGCACUCCAGACCACCACUGCGUUACCGCCUUCGCCCAAGCUGUCAUACGUCCAUCGCGCUCGGAACACCACUGUGUGAGCCGCCGUUGUCAUAGACCACCCCGAGCAGUCCCGCACAACGCCGCCUCCACCCAGCACGACCAGCGUCGCCGCCACCAGCGCAAACAGCGUCGCACCACUAGCAGCGCCGCCGCCCCUAACGCAAAAGAUGCGACCUGUUGUGUCGCCGCGAGUCUGGGCCACCACGAAGCUCCACGGAACGUGUCUCUAGGCCACCGCGAAGCAGAUUUGGGUCUUCUAUUGGCACCGUCACAAAGCUCCACAGAACGCAACUCUGUGUCGCCGCGACUGGGAUUGCACCGCCGCGAAACCCAGGCUUCUUUUUAACCUUCGACCUUUUUUUUAGCUCCACGGACUCGUCCUUUUACUUCAACUAUCUCUUGAUUUCAUGUAUUAAUUCAAUUUUUUUAAAAUUAUUUAUGACUAAUCUUUAUUAUUAUCGUCUUCAUCACCACUGUUAUUAUAAUCAUAUAAUCAUAUGGUGCUUGCAAUAGUAGCAAAUACAAUGUUAAGAAAUAGUUCUAGUCGUGGUGGUGGCAAAAAAAGUGGUUUUCAUAAUUGUGGUAAUCAAUUAGACAUUAAUGAUAAUGGUAGUCAUGCUUUUUAAAUUCAAUGAUGUAGUGUUGGAGAUAACAAUGUUAGUGACGACAACAAUAAUCAUAGUGACAUUGUGAAAACAGAAAAAACACAAGAAGGAGGUAUUAAAAUUGUGUUUUUGAGAACUUUUAUGCACUUUCCAUAGAUAUUGUUUGAUAGGGAAUACUUAGAUAAUAAAUUUUUAAAUUGAUUAAUUAGUUAAUGGCAAUUAUAUCUCGAAGAUAUUAAACUUAACGAAUUAGUCUAUAUAAAACAUUUUUGGUUAUAUGUCAUAUCACAGUGGUUCUCAUUUUUCGUUAGUACAAAUAACCAUAUAUGCAAAGUAGAGAGAUAGAGAAAAAGAUCAUACACACUAUAAUUUUUAUAAUGGUUUUGUUCUCGCCAACUAACCUGGGUCGGGUUCUGGUGGUGGAUGUUCUCUCACUCUGUCUUUGUUGAUUGUUUGUGACCUUGGAACCAUUGAAGCUCCAACGGAGGAUGCUCCACCUGUUAAUUACACUCCGACGAUCAAUUCAAUGAGAGCACUUAUAUAUUAGAAUGCAAUGUAUAUAGCGUAGGAUCAACUUACCUGGUGGUUAGGGUCUCAUGGUCCUUUUAUACUAGUAGUCAAGCAUUGAUAACUGCAUAAUUUAUCCGUUAAUAUUCUCCCUUAUAUUUUGGGGUUAUAUCUUUGCAGAGUAUCGUCUCUGCCUGUGUCUCUUUUCUUUCCACUCUUCCAAACAACUAAUUGAAUCAGAUAAAAUGUACCUUUGUUGUUUGGACUGUGUUAAUUUUACCAAAAGUGAAUGUUCUUUUGGAGAUACUGGACCUUAUCGUAUUUGGGCCGAUUUCUAGAGUUAUGGUUUGAUCAACAUGUACUGCUUUGACUGAUGGACCAGAGACCCAAAUGUUUGGACUAUGGGCAUAGCAUGCCAUGAUCGGGUUGUAGGUUGAACAUGUCGAACAGUACACAAUCCCCCAGCCUCAAGCCAAGAAGAACGAGGCGAAGAGGCUACAAUGAGACGUAGAGGUGUCGUCAGUGACAAGACAUUUUGCCAGAGGGUAGGUGUCGCACAAGUUUCGAAGCGUUUCUGGAUGAAAUGGCCAUCUUAGAGGCGUACACGUGGCUUAACAUCAACGAUCCUUAUUCCGUGACGUUUUUACUUCCCUUAUACUUUCAAAGAGCAUUCUUUUAUCCCAUUUUUACCUUCGCGCCUUGCUUAAAAGAAAAGUUGUGUCCUAUGCGAUAGUUCCUCGUCAGUUCCUCUGUCACGUUGGUUAUCAGGUAUGUGCAGUCCCCUCCUCGUACUAUUUUUCCUGGGUUUACACUGUGUUUGAGAUUUGUUUCUAGUGUUGCUUAUAUUUUUUAGGUUGGGAUUGUUAUUUGUUUCUGGGUUGAGAUUGAUGUUCUUUCUUUUUAAAGUUGUUCUAUCUAGAUUUUUGGUGUGUUUGUGUGCAAAAAAUUUUCAUAAAUGGAUUAUGCAUCCACCUAUCCCUGGGCCAAAAGGGAAUUGCUUAAGAAAUCUCUGUUUAAAGAUUAAAGAGUUGAGGGAGUCGGGGGUUUAAGUAAGAAAAACGAGAACAUGCUUUCCUCGAUCAACAAAAUCGAGUUGGCUGAAAGCGCAAGGAAAAUAAGGACGACCAAGGAUAACUUAGUGUCGAAAGAGAUUGCCCCGACUAGCGUCGUUCAUGUUCAAUCUGAACAGGAUUAACGUACUGCUUCUGGGUUAGUUUUCAAGAGAAAGAGAUCGGAAGUGUCGAUUACUUCGGAACACUCGCACUCGGAUGGUCAAGCUCCUACCCAGGAUGCUCUGAAAAUCCAAGAAUGCGAAGUUGUUAGAAGCUCGAAAGGGAAGAGCCCGUCGCAUCCAAGUUUGGAUAUCUCGGCCUAUAAUAAAUCAUUCUUCUUACUAGAAGAUGAUAAUGCAAGGCUAAAGAUUUGUGAUGGAGACCGACUCCGCCGUGACGCUGAAAGUUUGCUCGGCCAAGCUACUACACUAGUGUGUUUGGCCAACAUCAAGGUGGAAGUGCGGAAGAAAACUGAAGGUAAAAAAACUCAGCAGAUUGUCGAACUUUAAAAAGAGAAUGAACGCUUUCGAGCCUAGACCGUAGAGAUUGAUCGCUUACACUCGGAGUUGGCUUGCAAGACAAAGGAAGGACUUGUUCUGACCAGAGAGAAAAUCGUUUUAGCUGAUAUGGUUAAUAUUUUGGNNNNN